RNAcentral lists this long non-coding RNA (59892 nucleotides) under Triticum aestivum (bread wheat). RNAcentral's name for it is "long non-coding RNA (TAES_LNC000904)". The record is from RNAcentral. Lineage: Eukaryota; Viridiplantae; Streptophyta; Magnoliopsida; Poales; Poaceae.
AAGCGGAUGCUGUCACGUAGAUCCCCGUCCAGUUACAUAGGCUCUGGUCUUUCCAGGUGCAGGACGAGGUACAGGCCAUUGGAGGUUCGCAAAAACUAGAGCACAAAGAGUUGAUGAGGCCGCUGAUAUACAUUUUUCCUUCGUGUACAAGAUUUGAUCGGGAACAACAACAUACAAACGUCGAUUAGCAGGCAAUAACACACAACUGUGCACGCUCCUGAUAUUCAGAGAGAUUCUAUUUUUACACUUCGGGAGUACAUAUGAAAAACACAUAUCUACUGUUGUUCAGACGUAGUUGAAACUGCAGCAUAAUCAUAUUUGACAUCUACAGUGUUGCUAUCUUGGGAACCGUGUUCUCUCCAACUGAUCUUCCACAUCUGGAGUAAGCUUACCCUGCAUGACAGAGGAAAAAUAUUACUCACAUGAUGAAUCUGGUGAUUUCUCAUUCUGUUAUCAUUCUAGUAAUCAAAUUGAACAAAGAUCAACCUCAUAAAGAGCGAAGACAUCACAAUUUUAGCAUCAGUGGAAUGAAAGUCCAUGAUAGUGUAGCAUAAAUUUUGGUGUAUUUGUAUUGCUCAAAGCAGAACAAGCAACUUACGACUGGAAACAGUUUGGCCUGUAUAAUUGUGAUUUUUAAUACAACUGUAUGUAUAAUCAUAUUUGAUCGCUUGACCGUCCUACACGACCUCAUUUUGCCGAGCGUGUGUGGCCAGAGAGCCUAUCGCCGACGCUUUCUGGGUCGUGUGGGAAGGACCCUUCUAUCGCCCACACUCACUUGGCGACGGUUCCAAAUGCCGUUAAUGAAGAGGCUUGGUAUCAUUAUGUUAAUUUGAGCUCAAAUUCAAUAUAAAUCAAAUAAAUUCUCACACAAUUACUCCCAAACUAAACCCACAAAUCACUAUACUUAUAGAGCAUUGCACGUGUUAAUCUAGCAAUUAGAGAUGAAAGGACAAAAUUGCUAACCUUUGUGAACACUUGGAUAGUUGGGGUGCCUCAAAUCUUGACAAAUCUUGGCAAAAAAUGAAGGAUGAGCUUGAGCUAAGGGGAAGAACAGAGAGGGAAAAGGAGAAAACAGAGAGGAUGAGCUCGGGACGAACUGGGGUUUAUAUAGGAAUAACUUUAGUCCCGGUUGGUAAUACAAACUGAGACUAAAGGUCAAGCUAUAGUUCCGGUUGGUGAUACAAACCGGUACUAAAGGGGCUCGUGGGGGGCCAGCCUGACGCCAUCACCAACCGGGAUUAUAGGUCAAAAAUGAACCGGGACUAAUGAUGCCCAUGCCCCCUUCCGCUCCUAGCCGUUGGAACCGGGACUAAUGGUCACAUUAGUCCCGGGCCUAGAUCGGGACUAAUGCUUCGGACGAAAGGUCUGUUUUCUACUAAUGUUCACCCACUCAACAAAGGGCCUUUUCAUAUGCAAUGUGUCAUUGUAUGGUGGUGAAAAAACAUCCGCUUCCAUAUAUCAGUGGUGAUUCCCCAAUUUGUGUCGGUUGCUGCCGACGUCGAGCUUGGAUGCGCAUGCACUGUCUCUGCUUCUUGUGAUGCUUUUGCUACUGCCCUUCUACCUCCACUUCAUAUUGAUGUGUCAUAACCGUAGACUGCAUUUGCGUUGCACCUAAUGAACUGGACAAAUACAGGGGGAAACUCGAUUGAAAGUUGACAACAACAAUGGUUAAUGUUCUGGCCCUAUAAAUUCCAAAAAUUUGUCUAAACCAUAUUUGAUGAAAGCCAUUUCUCUUAUUCUUCCUGGGAAAAUUUCAAUGCUCUCCAUAAGGGUCAAAAUGAUGAAGCACGCACGCUCCUCAUGAGGAGAUACAUAGCCUGCCGAGUCGUGACUCGGAGUAUACUCCGCGACAUCUUGGCAGCAGCAGCGAAAGCCAUUGUGGUUGGCUCUAAUACCAACUGUUUUGAACCUUGAUCCACCAGAAAAUGCAUGGCCGCAAAGGAUUGCGUAUACAUAGGUUUAGAUGCGAGGACAACUUGGUGAAACAUAUUGAUUGUUCUUGCCUCCUCAAACAUGGGCGCAUGCCAUCCUUAUAUAACGGAUGCUUGGGCCCUUGAGGCCUUGACCUUUCAUAUUCUCCUAAUAUGAUUAGACUUCCUUAUACAAAUGCAGUCUUUCCUAAUCUUACAAUUUCCUAGUGGACUCUUAGGAUACUUCUUUCUCAUUGACUCCUUGUCAGGUCCUAGCAGAAAAGGAAUCUCAACAUAUAUCCCUCAGUUGUCCAUCAGAGAAACAGAAGUGAAGGGUACAUUCACUUAUCCAACGUUGCACGUGUGAUUGAGAAAUACAAUGGCUGUUGUUACGUGGCUUAUUGUUGUAAUUGCAGUUUACUGUAAUUUAGUUUAACCAGGUGCUUUGCUUAGGCCAUUUACCACAUGUUUUACUCUCGGUAAUCACCAAACCGAUCUGGCUAUGUUUACCGUUCCCAUCUGAGUAAAGUGUAAGAAAGAAUUCGACAAAACAUAGUUCCUUAGAUUAGCUAGAAGUAAAAGUGAUCAUCUUCACAACCAUCCCGCAUUUUAUCCUGUAAUCCGACAAAUCCCUCGUUCGGUUUUUCGAUGAAUUCCUUCUAAUUAUUUUGGUCCUGGCACUCCUCCCAUGCUAGAUCAACAGGCGAUCCCUCUAUUGGAGCACAAAUUUGGUGAAGCAAAAUAUGCUUUUUGUAUUUGGUUUACUCUAAUAUCUCAGAAACAAAAGCGUCGAGUAUGGACCGCUUCACCCAGCCAACACCAUGUAUGCAUUGUGUGGUAGUGGGAAAACUGCCGCUUUCAUAUAUAUAGUCUCGAUUCCCUGCUACCAAAGAAAUCAUCAGGUCAUCAUAUUGUCAUGAUCAUUUGAAUUACUAUGGCAUGGCAGAUCAUCAUGCUUAUUGUGUUUCUCAAAAGUGCGAUUUUUACUGCUGGAAUCAGCCAUACACCUCUAUCGAAAAGAAAAGAUGGGAACCUGAAAUAAAAAUAUAUAGUUCCCAAUCCAUGACAACAAUUGCAUGAUAAAACAGGGGAAAUCUGGGUCCAGAGCUCCCACCUCUAACUCUAUCCCAAAUCGAUGAUGCAUUAACCCAUCUUCAUUCUGUGCUGAAAACCUGAACUCUUUUUCUUUUCUCAUUUGAAAGAGUAAUAAGAAAGCUGAACUCAGUCUAUCACUUAGUGACUUAGACAGGCAAGCUGAUAUAUGAUUUUGCACACAUGGAAGUCAUCGAGUGCAUAGCAUGCAGCUUAAUGGAUUCCCAAGAGCAGCAACAAUUGAUGCAGAGCAGUGACAGUAAAUCCCCGUCGAGUUACAUAGGCUCUAGUCUUUCCAAGCGCGGGACGAGUUAUAGACCAUUGGUUGUUUAGGAAAAACUAGACCAGAGAGUUGAUGAGGCCGCCGAUAUACAUGUUCCCUUCGUGUACAAUAUUUGAUCAGGAACAACCGCAUACAAACGCCAAUUAGCAGGCUAUAACACACAACCGUGCACGCUGGGGCUCUUGAUAUUCAGAUCGACCCUAUUUUUGCACUUUGCAAUUACACACGAAAAACAAAUAUCUAAAAUUGUUCAGACGUAGUUGAAACUGCAGCAUAAUCAUAUUUGACGUCUACAGUGUUGCUAUCUUGGGAACCACGUUCUCUCCAACUGAUCUUCCACAUCUGGAGUAAGCUUACCCUGCAUGAUAGAGGAAAAAUAUUUUAGUCACAUGGAUACAUAGAUGCAAUGCCUAUUCGAUGUGAUGUUGUUGUCAAAACUACGUACACAUGAUGAAUGAGAACAUUGAUUUUUGGAAGGGAACCAGGGUAGCAUUAGGAAGAAUCUGAAUUUGCACGUCGUUUGUCCAGCCUUCUGUUCCGUGGUAUUGCAGUUUGUACUCGCUAGAAUCGCCCCUUCACCUCUGUAGAAAAGGAAACAUAGAACUCUUAAAUCUGAAUGCGAAAAAUGCAAAGAGAGCCUUGGCUCAGUGGUGUUGGGCAUGCGGUUGUGCAGCCUAGCGACCCGAGUUCAAUUCCUAGAAUUGACAGGCGAUGCACAGGGGUUUUCCCCCGUUUAUUGAGGAUCAAGCUUGAUGUGUGGUGGAACCUCUCAUCAAGAAAUAUCUUGAUACUCAUACUAAAAUUGCCGUAUGCAUCCCUGGUUGGUGCAGAGGCCGGGGAAGUAAAAUUCUCCCCCGUUUUAAAAGACACAUCAAUCUAUCUCUGGUUAGGAGCCCCGAGGCUUUCUUAUCCUAUCUUCCCUGACCUCUCUCCCCCGAGGCGGCGCCACGCCGCCCCCGGGGAGUCCCCGUCCACACCGCCCUCAGCCCUCCCCCUCCAUCGCCUCCCACUACCGCCGCCGUCGCUGAGGACGCCGCGGGGCGAAGCCCCUAUGGUGAGGCGGCGGCGGCGGCUUAGUCCUCAGUAACGCGUGGGGGCAGCGGCGUCCAUCUCCCUCCUCCUCCAACGGCAGCGCGCAGCGGGUUGGCGGUGGCCAGGAGAUCUCCGGCAGGCGUUUGGCAGAUGAGAUUUUGGCUGCGAUGAGAUCUGAUCUAAGCCCGAGGGGUUUAGAUCGAGAUCCACUACGGCUGCGCCUCGUCUCGACAACGGCAAGAGGAGAUCCCCCAUGGGUAAUCUUCGCGGCACGAGGACAUCCGGGUCUCUUGGCCCGGGCAUGGUGGUGGUGGCUGCCUUCUCCAUCGAAGGCGGUAGGCCAGGUUGGUAGUGACGGAUCUUGGAUCCCAGUAUUAGCACCGGCGGCGAGUUGGGGAGACAUAGUCGUCGGUGAAAACCGAGCCGACUACGGUCAUGGCGGGCGAUGGCAGCGUCUACGUCAUUACCUUGAUGAAGGCAUCGUGAAGCAACUAUCGUCAUCCUGCUCGUGCCGCUCCAAGAGAAAUCCUAAGAUCACCGGAUCGGACGAUAGCGGCGCUGCGGUGUCGUGUUCCCUAUUGGGGGCAUUGUUUGUGGAGCGGCGCUGGAUGGAAGAGGCGUGAGGUGGUGUGGCGUGCCUUCUCUCGCGUCGACGACGGCGGGUCUCGGCGGCAUGGAGCAGUGGGCUCUCGCCGGUGGGCAUGUGAUGAUGGACGAGCGCAGGAUGAUGGUGUUGUCUGGCGUCGUGGUGGCGUCGACGACAGCUAGACCGGGCAAGGUAGAUGCAACAGUACAUCACUGAAGAUGGAUUUGUGGCAGGUGGCUGCGUCGGCCUCAUACCCGGCAGGCGUCCUGGUUGAGGAGUGCGCCGGACUCGUGGGUACCCCAUACCCGGCAGGCGUCCUGAUUGGGACCUCAGGUCUUAGAUGUUAGGUUUGGCUGCGAGGUCUGUUUGGUAUUAGGCCCAGACUAUCAGCAUCCCUACAUCAACUGGAUAGGAGUAGCGACAGAUAUUGCCUAGACGGUAGCUUUAGUCUUACUGUUGUACGACUUUUUAAGGUCUUAUGUGAAUAAUUAAUAAAGUGGCUGCUUGCAUCGUCCAGAUGCAGAGGCCGGGGGUCAUCCUCCUUUUCUAAAAAAAAAGAGCUCCCAUAUUAAAUCAUGGGUAUGUACCUGUAUCUCAAAUCGAUGACGCAUUAAUCCAUCUAGUGCAGCUAUUUCUCGGUGAAUUUGUUUAGUUGUGUUUUGCUCCAGAACUCUGAUAGCUAUUGUGGUUUUAGCUUUAGGAGGCACCCUUUCUUAGGUUUUGUUUAUUUUGCUGCAGAUAGAUACUAGACCUUGCUCGUUACCGCUGAGAUAGCUGAACCCCGCAGUUUUUUGGCAUAUUAAAUAUACGAAAAUAUUAUACCGCGUACAUUAUUGUUUGUCUAUUUUUGGCGGUGGCAUACAUUUUUGUUAAUAGAUGACAUUGAUUUGCAACUAGGCACAUACAACACCAGACCUGCGAAGCGACCAUGCAUGCGCGUCGUCGGUGUUGCUCCUAGUUGUGCCUCUGCUGUUGUUGUGCGUGGUUGUGCAACCACCGCUGGUUGUUGCGCCGGGUUGCUUUGUCGUCGAUCCUCCGCCGUCGAGCUUGGCUGCCUCUGCUUCUUCUCGUACUUCUGCUACUGCUUCCUGUUCUGGUGCCUUUUCCACUACUGCAUAUUGUUGUGUCGGUCAUCGUGGACUGCACUUGCACGGUUGCACCUAAUGAACUGGACAAUAAUAGAAGUAACUCAAUUCUCUCGCCAAAAAAAAAAACUCGAUUGAAAGCUGACAACAACCAUGGUACAUGUUCCAGCCCUCUAAACUGCCAAAAGCUCGUCUAAACAAAAUCUGAUGAAGGCCAGGACCAUUAAUCUUCCUGGGAAAAUUUCAAGGUUCUCCAUGAGGAUAAAAAAUGAUGAAGCAUGUUCGAUGUUCCCCGUGAUGGGAUAUAUAGACUGAUGAGUCGCGAGUCGUGACAAGGAGUAUCCUCCGUGAUAUCUUGUCAGCAGCAGCGAAAGCCAUGGUGAUUGGCUCUAAUACUAACUAUUGUGAACCUUGAUCCAACAAAAUGCAUGGCCGCGAGAGAUUGUGCAGACACAGGUUUAAAUGCGAGAACAACGUGGGAAAACGAAAUGCAUGGCCACAUGCCAUCCUUAUAUAAAGGAUGCUUAGGCCCUUGAGGCCUUCGCCUUUCCCAUUCUCCUAAUACGAUUGGAGUCUUUCUAAUCAUACAAUUUCCUAAUGGACUCUUAGGAUACUUCUUUCUCAUGGACUCUUUGUCAGGUCCAGAGAAAUCUCAAUAUAUAUCCCUUAGUUAUCCAUCAGAGCAACACAAGUGAAGGCCACAGUCGGUUAUCCAACGAUGCACGUGUGAUAGCGAGAUCCAAUGGUUAUUGUUACUUGCCUUAUUGCUUUAGUUACUCUUUACUGUAAUUUAGUUCAACCAGGGGGCUUUGCUUGGGCCAUUUACCUCAUGUUUUACUCUGGGUAAUCAUUGAACCGACCCGGCUAUAUAUGUCAUACCCAUCGUGAAUAAAGGGUAAGAAAGAAUUUGCCAGAAAAUACUUCCUUAGAUUAAUUAGAAGUAGAGGCGAUUAUCUUCUCGAGUAUCCCGCAUUUUACACCAAAAUCUGACAAAUCCCUCGUCGGUUUUUGGGUCAAUUCCUUUCAAUUGUGCCGGUCCUAGCACUCCUCCCAUGCUGGUUCAACGGGGGCUCCCUCUAUGGGCUCUCCUCCCAUGCUGGUUCAACGGGAGCGGGUCCCUCUAUUGGCUAACAAAUCGGGUGAAGCAAAAUAUGCUUUCUCUAUUGGUUUACUCUAAUAUCUCGGAAACAAAAGCGUGGAGUACUGACCAUUUCGCCCAGCCAACACCAUGUAUGCAUUGUGUGGUGGUGGGAAAACUGCCGCUUGCAUAUAUAUAGUCUCAAUUCCCAUUCUACCGAAGAGGUCAUCAGGUCAUCAUAUUGCCAUGAUCAUUUGCAUUACUAUGGCAUGGCGGAUCAUCAUGCUUAUUGUGUUUCGCAAAAUUUCCAUUUUUACUGCUAGAAUCAGCCGUACACUUUUAUCGGAAAGAAAACAUGGGAACCUGAAAUCAGAAUCUAGAGUUCUCAAUCCAUGGCAACAGUUGCAUGAUAAAACAGGGGAAAUCUGGGUCCAGAGCUCCCACCUCUAAAUCGCAGUUAUGUUCCCCCGUAUCCCAAAUCAAUGAUCCAUUAACCCCUCCUCGUGCUGUCCUGAAAACCUUAACUUUGUUCAAUUUUGAAAGAGUUAUAAACCUGAACUCAACCCAUCACUUAGACAAGUCGGACAAUAAAUUAUCUUGCACAUACGUAAGUAACAAGCAAGCCAAUGAAUUAUCUUGCACAUAUGGAAGUUGUCGACUGCAUAGCACGCAGCUUAAUGGACUCUGAAGAGCAGUAACAACUGAAGCGGAUGCAGUCACGUAGAACCCCGUCCAGUUACAGGACGAGGUAUAGGCCAUUGGAAGUUCGCAAAAACUAGAGCACAAAGAGUUGAUGAGGCCACUGAUAUACAUUUUUCCUCCCUGUACAAGAUUCGAUCAGGAACAACCACAUACGAACGUCGAUUAGCAGGCAAUAAUACACAACCAUGGAAGCUGGGGUUCCUGAUAUUCAGAUUGAUGCUAUUUUUACACUUCGGGAGUAUACAUGAAAAACACAUUAACACAUAUCUACUGUUCUUUAGACGUAGUUGAAACUGCAGCAUAAUCAUAUUUGACAUCUACAGUGUUGCUAUCUUUGGAACUGCGUUCUCUCCAACUGAUCUUCCACAUCUGGAGUAAGCUUACCCUGCAUGACAGAGGAAAAAACAUUAGUCACAUGGAUACAUGGAUGCAAGGCCCAUUCAAUGUGGUGAGGUGGUCAAAACUGCAAACAUUGAUUUCUGGAAGCAAACCAGAGUAGUAUUAGUUUGAAUAAGCAGAAGCACAUCAUGAAAAGUUUCCUAAGAACUACCCGUGCAUGUUUUGGUUCAUGUUAAAAAUACCAAAAAAAUAACUGCAGAUAUCUUAUUCUGAUAUCAUUCUAGUAACCAAAGUGAACAAAAACCAACCUCAUAAAGAGCGAAAACAUCAAUUUUUUGGUAAAUCAGUGGAAUGGCAAUAUUAUUGAUAUUUGGUAACACUUGGUGUAUUUGUAUGCUCAAGUAGAGCGAGCAAUACCAACAUCGGAUUAAAGUGAUUCAAUAGAACUAAAACUAUACAAAAAUAGACUCAAAAGUGAUGCAUUGAGUAAGCUGAUGUAUACAUGUCAGGUUCAAUUGUCCUCUUUGCCAACAUAAGAGUCAAGAAAACAGGUAUCAUCGCAGCACAUAGAUGUUUAAAAGUAUGUCCUCUAACAAUGUCAUGUGUCCACCUAUAUAUAGGUUUGUCUGCACCCACUUCUACUUUGGCAACAAGGUAAAAUCCUGAAAUCAAUUUGAAAAAUCAGAACAGAAGUAUCUCUGCGCUUAGAAAACCCUAAAAAACAAUGUGCUUAGAAUAAAUGCUUGCGGUGGCCUAUGAUUAAAUUGUGCUUAAAUAAAUGCUUCUGCAUAACUCAUUCUUGUAGCAACAUCAUCAAAGGCCAACAACUGGAAAACAGCAAUUCAUGCACAUUUAUAUUAGUUGGACUGUUAACUGAUUUAUAAAUUUCUAGGUAACAGCAGACGUUACUGGGGAAACAGAAUCAUCUUGGCACCGUUCAAUGGUAUUAAGGGAGUAAGAACUUAAGAAGGGGAACAUUACAACUUCUAGUGAGUUUUCUAUGAAUUUUCAAGGUAACUGUGGUUUAUAACCAAGCAUCAUGAGUACAGACUGCAAGAAGAAAAAGGUAUCACCAGUUCUUAUGCUUUGAGAAAAUUGACUAUGAAAUAACCCAGUACAUUUACGUGAAUCACAUAUAGCUAUGUACACAAAUAAUGGAACUGCAUACAACCUGGUGAUAUUGAGCGGCAAUAACACUAACCUGCUGCCGACAACCAGUAGCUUGAAUGUGUAUACACUGGUGGAAUAACUAUAGUCAUCACAGGUAUUACAAUGCAUGGAACAAACUGGAUUACCGCAUAUGGCCGAAGGUCAUCAAAGAAACUACACAACAGAGUAGACAGUUAAGUUCAAGGAAGCAAAUAUUACUGACAGAAGGAUAGAUAAACAAUCGAAAGAUCUUGCCUCCAGUACAGGAUGCUUAGUGCACCAGCAAUGACAAGGGGUGAAAGGGACUUUGUUCCGGCCCCAUCAUCAACCCUUUCUAUGAUGAAAAUGGCCGUGAUAGACGUGAAAGCAAUCGUCAUCUAGACAAAAGAAGCCUAUAUGUCAGCGCUCGAAAUAUUUAAAAUCAAGAAAGAAGGAGCAACUCCUAGGGUCUGGGGACUAUACACUGUACAAUAUACUACUAGUGGUGAGUGAGAAUGGCUCCCACGCUCCUGCGACGCCCAGCUCCGGUGCCCGCAGCCACCAUGGCCCCGCCCAACCCCCUCCCUCCCCGCGAAGCACCUCCUCGAUCUCGCCACGGUUCCCUCCGGGAUUCCCUUCUCGUCGGUUCUCGCGGCCAGAUCUGGUGGCGGCCCUCUUCCUGCAGCUGGAGGGGAGUUCCUCUGUGCAUCCGGGAUGGUGCUCCUCUGCCGGCGUGCAGCGCGGCUGCCUCGAAUGAUGGUGCUCUUUUGCCAGCGUGCUGCGCGGUUAUCUCGGACGCGACGAGCCGUCCCCGCAAGGUGCACUUCGCUGCUCAUGAUGCGCUGCUAGAUACUGUUUUAAAUAGCCCGCUCGUUUACAAAAAGUCUUGCGCUAAGAGACUUUGGUCCAAAUAAAUGAAUAAACAUUUUAAAUAACGCGCUAUAGCUCCGCUAUAGCAUGCUAUAGCAUUUAGAAGAGGUCUGCCGUUAAGAUGCUUAGCGCGCUAUUUAAAAGUACGUAGAUUCCACCCCCAGCUCCCCGUCCAUGGCGUCCUCCGGCCAUGCAUCAAAUCGGCGCCUGCUGCCUGUCGUCGUGCAGCGCCGGGCGCUUCCUCGAGCCCUGCGAAUCCUGCCGCAGUCUCAAGGCGGAGCUCUUCGUCAAGCCAUGCUCCUCCUACUGCGGAAUCUAAAUCGUGCUUCGAGGCUGACUUCGGCCGGUCGGCGGACUGGCAACUUGUUCGGCCGACAUAUUGGUGGCGGCGCCCCAACCGCCGGCGCCCAAGCCGUCGAGCUGCGUGUGAUUUUCCUCCUCCUGCGCGAAGGGAUUUCGUCAAGUUCAGUGACAGAGAAUGCCAUCGCUGCCUCCUCAAAGGACACUGCAAGGUUGACUGUCGAAAUCCGUUCACCUGCCUCAGAUGCCGGCAGAUUGGUCACCGCGCUUGGAACUGCACCAACCCCCUGACGCCGGCUUCUCCUCCAACAUUGUCAUCUGCAGCUGUCGUGCGGCAUCCUCGUGCUCCUCCGUCCCAACCUGCUGCUCCACCUACGGUGUGAGGGUGCAUCAGCGACCAGUCAGUGCGCCCUGCUGCCCAGCCGCGCUCGCAGUCUGUCGCCUGGGGGCUGGUGGGCGGCGAGCCUCGCCAUCGCGACGACGACAACGAACGCCGUAGAGAUGAUGACCGUGACAGUGAAGACCGGUUCAGAGACAAGCGAUCUGCGGGUCGUCUUUCAUGUUGGGGCUCCGUCGCUGCUGCCACCACCACCAUGGACUCUCGCGGGCGCUCACCUCCAGCGUCGCCGUGCACCACCUCUCAGGACAUCGUCCAGAUCGAGACUUCUUGCUCUGCAAUGAUCUCGCCUCCGCCGUCGCCGCGCACCACCACUAGUGCAGAACCGGGAUAUAGCACCGGUUCGUAAGAGCCUUUAGAACCGGCACUAAAGGGAGGGGACUAAAGGUCCCCCUCUUUAGUACCAGCUCUGCACGAACCGCCGCUAAAGGGCCACCAUGUGGAACGAGCCAGUGCCGGGGGCGGGGGCACUUUAGUUUUGGGGGUUUUUGGAUUCAUGAUUUCUUUUUCUUUAAUUUUGGGGUAUUUUACGAUACUACAUAUUAUACACGUUAUGAAUAUAUAUAAAUAGAAUUUCUCGUAGAACCGAUCAUAUAUAAAUAGAAUUUCUCGUAGAGCCGAUCAUCGAAUGUCUCACAACCACCAUUAUGCACACAUACACAUGUAUAUAUAUAUAUACAAUUAGGUAUAUAUAUAAUUUCUCCUACAUGUUGCCUUGGUGCCUUCGGAGCACGAUGAAAAUUGGGAGUGGUUCAUGGGGCGGUAGCGGGUAAUGGUAUUCUCCUUUGGGAUCUAUGACCUGGUCAAGCAAAAAUCCCGCUAUCCCAGUGCCAGCCCGGCGGAGCCCAGUCGCGGACAUGGGUCCUCUGAAGCAGGACGUCGUCGUGAACGGGUCGAUGGCGAGGAUGUGGGCCAGACAUCGGCGAAAACAAAUACUAUAUCCAAACAUAACAUUUUUUAAAUGAUUGAAUUGUGAUUUCUUAACUAAAAUUAGAAGAAACUAAUAAAAACAUCGAUCAUCGUCUAACAAUUUGAAAUUAAUAUAAUUCAUCUAGGUAAAACUAACAUUUCUAAAAUUUCUAACAUUUCUAUAUAACUAACAUUUCUAUAACAUUUUUAACAUUUCUAUAACAUUAUUAUAUCUAAAACCUUUGACAUUAUACUAUUUGACAGAAAACCUUUGUAUAAAAAAUAGAAAAAACCUUUGUCAUUAUAUUAUAACUAACAUUUCUGUAUAUACUAUUUGACAUUAAUCUAAUCUAAUUAAUUAAUUCAGCUAAAACUUUGUAUGAAAAACAGAAAAAACAGAAUAAACUAAAAACAGAAAAAUUGUGUGUGUGUGCGCGCGUGUAGUGUGUAGUGUGUGUGCGCGCGCGCGCGUGUGCACCUAGCUACGGCGACGGCGGCGCGGUGGCUUAGAUUGGAGGGAGGAGAGGGGCCGGGGGAGAGGGGCUCACAGCGCGCGCGGGCGAGGUCGAGGCGACGGCGACGGCAAGGCGAGGUCCAAGGCGACGACAACGGCGAGGCGAGGGGACGGCGACGGGCCGGCGCGGCGACGGGGACGGGCCGAAGUCGACGGGGACGACGCGACGAGGACGGGGGCGGCGCGGAGUCGACGGGGACAGCGCGACAGGGGCGGUGACGGCACGGGACGGGGCGGCGGCAGAGAGAGGUGGGAGAUGAGAAACUAAUUUUUUUGAAGUGUUUCUUAUAUAGGAGGCACCUUUAAUACCGGUUGGAGCCACCAAUCGGUACUAAAGGCCUGUUUUGGCCAGGCCAAGCGGCGGGAAGGGCAGGCCUUUAAUACCGGGUGGUGGCUCCAACCGGUACUAAUGAGCCCCUCUUUAGUACCGGUUGGUGCCAUGACCCGGCACUAAAGGGGGUGCGCUGCCAGGCGAGGGCCGCAGAAGUUUAGUCCCACCUCGCUAGCCGAGAGGCGCUCGGACCUGCUUAUAAGCCCCGCCGCCGCUGCUGUCUCGAGCUCCUCUCUAAAGCAGGCCGUCUGGGCCUACCUCUGCUACGAUGCCCAGUUGGGCCUACUGGGCGAGCAGGCCUGCAUCCUGGCCCAACUAGAAUUUGGGUUUCUAGUCGUAUGCAGGCCACUGUGGCCCAGUAGGCGGGCUUUCUUCAUUUAGUUUUUUUCUUGUUUUUUUCUUUUCUGCUUUAUUUAUUUUCUUUUAUUUAUUUUUUAGUUGUUUUUUGCUGUAUUUAGAGUUUGUUUGUGAAUAUUUUUGCUUUAGGUACAAAAAAUUACAGACUUUCUGUUAGUGCCGGUAGUUUUUAAAUUGGAAUAGUUUAAAUUUUGAAUUAUUCGAAAUUUGUGUGAAUUACUAGUUUGUGAAUAACUUAACUUUAAAAAUAGAUUUUCCAGUGAUUCUUUUUUCUUAUGUUUAAUAUUAGUGUGUUUUAUCAUUAUAUUCAAUUUGGUAAUACUUAGGUUAUUUAAAAAAUGAAAUGCCUUUGUAACAGAUGAGUUUUCGUCCGAAACCCUGAUACUUCGAAAGAGAUUGUCCAUUUUAUACAUGAAGUGCAUCCAGUUUUUGCCGUAACCCUCUCUACUUUUUUGCAUAUGCUAUGUGGUUGAAAUUAUGAUACCAUGCGAACUUUCAACCUUUUCGGAGUUCAUUUGAAAUAAUUUGUAAAUGCAUGAAAGAAUUUGUAAAUGCAUGAAAGAAUUUGUAAAUGCAUGAAAGAAUUAUGUGUUUUUCAAUUUCAGGGUCAUUUAGCUGAAAAAAAUCAGUAAAUGCAUUAAAAAAUUUGUUUGCACAUAAAAUUUCUUCUCGUUUCAAGUGCCAAAACACAUAACUACCCUAACUAUUACAGAGAUUCCCUCCUGGGUGUGAAACACAGAAGAAAGUGAUGAUAAUGAAGCCGAUCACAUCCCAGAUCUUUAGGUGUGAAACUUUUUUCGCGUGUGUCCCUUUGCGCCGUAACCAUGGAAAAAUCUUCAUCAUUUAACUGGAUGCUCGGGUCAAUAUUCACUGUGAAUGGAGCAAUUUCAACAAACUUUUCAUAAUCUUCUGACAUGUCUGUCUUGUCAUCCACUCCCACGAUGUUUCUCUUCCCAGAAAGAACUAUGUGGCGCUUUGCCUCAUCAUAUGAUGCAUUCAAUUCCUUAUCUUUUCUUUUUCUCGGCUUGGUAGACAUGUCCUUCACAUAGAAAACCUAUGCCACAUCAUUGGCUAGGACGAAUGUUUCGUCUGCAUACGCAAGAUUGUUGAGAUCCACUGUUGUCAUUCAAUACUGCAGGUCUUCCGUUACCCCGCCUCGUGUCAUAUUGACCCAUUUGCACCGAAACAAAGGGACCUUCAAAGCACGUCCAUAGUCAAGUUCCCAUAUGUCCUCUAUGUAACCAUAAUAUGUUUCCUUUCCCGUGUUGGUUGCUGCAUCAAAGCGGACACCACUGUUUUGGUUGGUGCUCUUCUUAUCUUGUGCGAUCGUGUAAAAUAUAUUCCCAUUUAUCUCGUACCCUUUGAAAGUCAUUAUAUUCGAAGAUGGUAACUGGGACAACAAGUACAUGUCAUCUUCAAUAGCGGCAUCAUGCAUGGCACGUGUCUGCAACCAGCCGGCGAUAGUCCCCGUUUGUUCACGUGUAAUCCAGUCAUCAGACCUCUCCGGGUGUUUCGAGCGUAGAAAAUUCUUGUGUUCGUCCAUAUACGGAGCCACCAAGGUGAAAUUCUGUAGACCUGUGUAGUGUUCUUGAGUGAGAGAAUGUUCGUCCAUACAUAUUAUCUGAUCCCCUCCUAGCGUGCCUUUUCCAUCCAGUCUGCCCUUAUGCCGCGAUUCAGGAACACCAGUCGGCUUAAGGUCAGGAAUAAAGUCAAUAGAAAACUCGAUGACCUCCUCAUUUUCAUGGCCCUUGGAGAUGCUUCCUUCUAGCUUAGCACGGUUAUGAACAUAUUUAUUUAAGACUCCCAUGAACCUCUCAAAGGGGAACAUAUUGUGUAGAAAUAUAGGACCCAAAACGUUAAUCUCUUCGCAUAGGUGAACUAGGACAUGCGUCAUGAUGUUGAAGAAGGAUGGUGGGAACACCAACUCGAAACUAACAAGACAUUGCACCAAAUCAUUCUCUAACCUUGGUAUGCUUUCUGGAUCGAUUACCUUCUGAGAGAUUGCAUUGAGGAAUGCACAUAGCUUCACAAUGGCUAAUCGAACGUUUUCCGGUAGAAGCCCCCUCAAUGCAACCGGAAGCAGUUGCGUCAUAAUCACGUGGCAGUCAUGAGACUUUAAGUUCUGGAACUUUUUCUCUGCCAUAUUUAUUAUUCCCUUUAUAUUCGACAAGAAGCCAGACGGUACCUUAAUACUGAGCAGACAAUCAAAGAAGAUUUCCUUCUCUUCUUUGGUAAGAGCAUAGUUGGCAUGACCCUGAUGUAUGGCGUCUUUUCCGUGCAUACAUUGUUGGUCCUCCUGUGCUUCCGGUGUAUCUUUUGUCUUUUCAUACACGCCCAAGAAGCCAAGCAGGAUCACGCAAAGAUUCUUCGUCACGUGCAUCACGUCGAUUGCGGAGCGGACCUCUUGGUCUUUCCAAUAGGGCAGGUCCCAAAAUAUAGAUUUUCUUCUUCCACAUGGGUGCGCGUCCGUCAGCGUCAUUCGGAACAGGUUGUCCGCCAGGACCCUUUCCAAAGACUACCUUCAAAUCCUUGACCAUAUCAUGUACAUCAGCACCAGUACGGUGGCGAGGCUUUGUUUGGUGAUCCGCCUCACCUUUGAAAUGCUUGUCUUUCUUUCUUACGGGAUGCCUGCUCCGAAGAAAUCGACGAUGUUCCAAGUACACAUUCUUCCUACAAUUAUCCAAAUAUAUCCUGUCGGUAUCAUCCAAACAGUGCGUGCAUGCGCGGUAUCCCUUGUUUGUCUGUCCUGAAAGGUUACUGAGAGCAGGCUAAUCAUUGAUGGUCAUGAACAGCAACGCCUUUAGGUCAAAUUCUUCCUGUCCGUGCUCAUCCCACGCACGUAUACCUGUUCCAUUCCACAGCUCUAAGAGUUCUUCAAGUAAUGGCCUUAGGUACACAUCAAUGUCAUUGCUGGGUUGCUUAGGGCCUUGGAUGAGCACUGACAUCAUAAUGAACUUCCGCUUCAUGCACAACCAAGGAGGAAGGUUAUACAUACAUAGAGUCACAAGCCAUGUGCUAUGGUUGCUGCUCUGCUCCCCAAAAGGAUUAAUGCCAUCUGCGCUUAGACCACACCAUACGUUCCUUGCGUCACCUACAAACUCAUCCCUAUAUACUUUCUCUCGAUUUUUCUCCACUACGACACGUCAGCGGGUACUCUCAACUUUCCGUCUUUCUUCGGUCUUCUCUGUGCCAUCGCAUCGCCUUGGCAUGUUUUUUGUUUUGGAAGAAACGUUUCAACCGUGGUAUUAUAGGAGCGUACCACAUCACCUUGGCAGGAAUCUUUUUCCUGGGGAGCUCGCCCUCGACAUCACCAAGGUCGUUGCGGCUGAUCUUAUAUCGCAAUUCACCGAAUAUCGAGCACACGUUCAAAUCCUCGUACUCACCGCGGUAGAGGAUGCAGUCAUUAGGGCAUGCAUGUAUCUUCUGCACCUCUAACCCUAGAGGGCAGACAACCUUCUUUGCUUUGUAUGCACUCUCGGGCAAUUCGUUGUCCUUUGGAAGCAUAUUCUUUAUCAUUACCAGCAACUUUCCAAAUCCGUUGUCAGAUACACCAUUCUCUGCCUUCCAUUGCAGCAAUUCCAGUGUAGUGCCCAACUUUUCUUGUCAGCUUCGGAAUUCAGGUACAACAGUUUCUUGUGAUCCUCUAACAUGCGCUGCAACUUCUUCUUCUCCAAAUCACUUGCGCAGUUUCUCUUUGCAUCGGCAAUGGCCCGACCUAGAUCAUCAGCGGGCUCAUCUGAUGCCUCUUAUUCAGCUUCUUCCCGCAUUGCCGGCUCAACUUCUUCCCCAGUUGUUGUAUCAUCGUAUUCAGGAAACCCAUGUCCAGGAUAGCUUUCGUUGUCCUCUUCUCCUUCAUUGCCUUCCAUCAUAACCCAUCUUUCUCUGUGCUUGGUCCAAACAUUAUAGUGGGGCAUGAAACCGGACUCAAACAGGUGGAUGUGAAUGGUUCUUGAGUUAGAGUAAUUGUGAUUAUUCUUACAGCCAGCACAUAGACAAGGCAUAAAACCAUCCGCCCGCUUGUUUGCCUCAGCCGCAAGCAGAAAAGUAUGCACGUCAUAAUGAACUCGGGAGAGCAUCGGUCAUCGUACAUCCAUUGUCGGCUCAUCUUCAUUACACAACACCGAAAAGACCAAAUUAAUACAAGUUCAUACAUAAAGUUCAUAUAACACUUCAAUGCAACAAACAAAUAACUCUCUAGCUAAAACAUUUAAAUGCAACAACAAAUGCGAUCAAGAUCGCAACUAAGGUAACAAUUGAUCUAACAACAUAAUGAUACCAAGCCUCAUUAUCAAUGGCAUAUUUUCUAAUCUUUCUAAUCUUCAAGCGCAUUUUCUCCAUCUUGAUCUUGUGAUCAUCGACGACAUCGGCAACAUGCAACUCCAAUUCCAUCUUCUCCCCCUCAAUUCUUUUCAAUUUUUCUUUCAAAUACUCGUUUUCUCUUUCAACUAAAUUUAACCUCUCGACAAUAGGGUCGGUUGGAAUUUCCGGUUCACAUACCUCCUAGAUAAAAAUAUCUAUGUCAACUUGAUGGGCAUAAUUUGUCAUAAACACGAAAUGCAACAAAUAGUUUUAAAAGAGAAUAUACCACAUCCGAAUCAUAACACGGACAAGGGCCGACGGGGACAGAUAUCAAGACCAUGGCACUAUGUAUAACAAACAACGUACGGGUAAGAUAAUUAUACGAGUAACUAUAUAUCCAAAUCACACAAACAUGAAUUUUUUAUAUAAAAAAGAUAAGAACAAGAGGCUCACCGCAAGGUGGUGCCGGCGACGGGACGGUGCGGGUGAUCGACGGUGGUUACUUCGGAGAUUUAGAAGGGCACUAAGUAAAUCACACCUACAUAUGCAAACUAAGUGUUAUUUUGUCCUCAAAUUGCAUAUAAAUAAAAUACUACCACAUAUAAUUCCUCCCAAAUUAGUAAAACCCACAAAUUAAUCACUAUAUAAACCAUUGCAAGAGGUAAUCCAGCAAUGAGAGAUGAAAGGACAAAGUUGCUAACCUUUGUGAUCAUUUGAAUGGACGGGGGCCUUCAAAUCUUGACAAAAUUUGGGCAAAAUUUGUGAUGAGCUCGAGAGAAAGAAGGGAAGAACAGAGAGGAGAGCGGAAAGGGGGGAGAACAGAGCGCGGGUGGACGAAGGGUUUAUAUAGGACGACCUUUAGUACCAGUUCGUGGCAGAAACCGGUACUAAAGGUGCUAGAGGGGCCCCAGACUGACAACAUCCUGCAACCACUCUCUUUAGUAUCGGCUCGUGGAACGAACCGGUGCUAAAAGUAUGGAACGAACCGGUACUAAUGAGAGUGGCCCGCCUAGCCGUUAGAACCGGCACUAAUGGAGUGCCAGCUCAAAUUCAUACCGGGACUAAUGAACUGAACAUUUGACCCUUUCUCUACUAGUACACCUCUCGGGACAUCAUCGAAGUUCUGCCUACCAGCUCUGUCAUGGGUUGGCAUUGCAGAUCCACAGCUAGCCGGAUGUUGGAUGUUGGCGAGGCGCCCGACCACAUCGUGUUGUGCACAGAGGCGCACCUAGGCCCUGCAGCCUUCCCUUCCAGUUCGACGGAGGGGGACCUAAUCUCGCCGAAUGCAGCGAUGAAGAUCGCUUUGGCCACUUCAGAUCUGACUGAUGCUGCACCAGAAUCUAUCCUCGCCACACCGACACCGUCGCCGCUGCCACAUGGUCAUGAAGAGACAACUCCAAUUGAUCAUGAAGUGACAACGCCAAUCCAUAUCCCUUCCUUCCACGCACAGACGGAAGGCCAGGAGGACACGCCCAUCUUCAUCCCGCGCAUGCCGACGCUGCUGCCUUCCCCUGCUAUGUGCUCUACGCCUCCAAGGGCACCGAAGGCAGAAGAAAAACCCUCGCAGGGGUCACCGGCCUACAACUCAUUCUCCACAGUUCGCGUCUCCUGGCAAAGAACAUGAACAUGUCGAUCGCCAAACUUGCGGAGAAGUUACUAUGUCAUCGGAUGGGCAUCGUGGCCGAAGGAGAACAGAUAACUGAGGCGGCAAUUGCAAAAUUUGCCUCGUUGUUCCAGGGGCGCCUCCCUGACAUUGCGAUUGCGGCUCUUCGAGCCCUAUUUAGGCUUGACUGCGAUCUCUCUGUUGUUGUUGAAGAAGCCCUGGUCCAUCAUGGAGGACAUGAAGGACUAGACAUGAGCGACGUGGCCACGGGCGAUGUAUGAUCUGAGUGCUUUGUCUGCUUUGAUGUAUCCAUGGUUUAAGUUUUUCGACAAAGGGUAAUAUAUUAAUAUCAAGAUGAUAUCAAGUACACCCGGCCUCUGCAACAACUCAAUGCCACGAGUAACUCGAGGCAUCAAGGAUGCACACAGCCAAAAAGAAAAAAGAAAAAAGAAAAAAAGAAAAAAAGAUCUAAGACACGCCGUAACCAACAACGAUACCAAGCACUACCGUGACAACACACAGGCUGCGAGUAGGUUCUCCAAAAGCAACGUCUUCAAGAAGAUAAAGACACACAAGUGUCACCGUUGCCGGAUUCAGUCAAAUACUAAAUCCUGAGUUUUCACCCUGAGAGAAGAACUGAGCAACAUCAUGCAAUGCCUUCAACAAGGUAACGAUAUCGAAAUACCGCCAUUGCCAGGUAUGACCGGCGAAGGACACACCAUGGGUUUUCACCCUGAAACUCCAGUCCCGGUACUGAAGUAGCACCACCAAACGCAACCACGAAGUGUUGUUGCAACCGCUGGAAGGUGUGUGGGCUUAAUUGUCCAGACCGGCGUGCUGCUAUACAUGAAACCAUUGCCGCCUCCUUCUGUCAUCUUGUUUGCAUCCAAGAAUCGAAGCUGCAGAUCAUUGAUCCAAUCCUCGCUACUUAUCUGGGUGGCCAGCGCCUCAAGAACUUUGCUCAAAGACCGGCUGAUGGCACUAAAGGUGGAAUCUUGAUACUCUGGGAUAGUGAUGCUGUUACUGUCACCAAUGUACAAACCGGAGCCUACUUCCUCUCCGUGACUGUGAAGCUCAACAACUCCGAUGAAAAAAAACCUUCAAACUGACUACAGUAUAUGGCCCCACUCGUAGCACGCAUAAGGAUGCUUUCUUCCAAGAGCUCAUCUCGCAAAAACCAACUUCGGGAACCAAAUGGCUGGUUAGCGGAGACUUCAAUCAAAUAUAUCGGGCUAGAGACAAGAAUCGCACGAAUGUGGACCGAAGCCACCUUGUCCACAUUCGAAACACCUUGAACGAUUGUGAGCUCAAGGAGGUUCACCUUCAGAAUAGAAGAUGCACAUGGAGUAAUGAACAAAAUGAUCCGACUUUGAGCAAACUUGACAGUUUCUUAUCCAAUGAGGAUUGGGACGUCGAAUUCUCCACUCACAUCCUUCAUGCCCUCUCAUCAUCGUUUUCAGACCACUGUCCCCUAUUACUUGCUAAUCAUGAUGCACCCAAGAGGCCCAAGUCCUUCCGUUUCGAAAACUACUGGAUCAAAAUGUCGGGCUUCCAAAAGGUAGUCAGUGAUGCUUGGAGCGAGGAUUCUAGACACGGUGAGCCCUAUAAAAGGCUCUUCCACAAGAUCAAGAAGACAAGUCAAAAAUUGCGUGCUUGGAGCAAGACCCUCUUUGCAAACUCAAAGGUCCAACUCCAUAUGGCCAUCGAAGUCAUCCUCCACCUUGACCCGGGGCAAGAUGAAAGAGCUCUUAGUCCGGAAGAAAGUGACAUCUGCAAAAGGCUUAAGAGAAAGGUUAUCAGCUUGACCGCCUUGGAGAAGGCCAGGAAGCGUGAAAACUCCAGAAUCACUAACCCCAAGGAAGGAGAUGCCAACACACGUUACUUCCAUCUGCGGGUCAACCAUAGAAGAAGGAAAAUUUUCAUUCACAGCCUCAAGCACAACAAUGGUUGGGUCACCGAGCACGAGCACAAGAAAAACAUUGUCCACCGCCACUUCUAGAACAUCGCAAAAAAAGGCCCUUCACGUAACAUUGACAUCAAUUGGGGGAUCAUCCCCACGCCCACUGCGACCUUCAUGAAUUGGGAGAGGCCUUCACCAAGGAGGAAGCUAAGAGAGUUGUGUUCUCCAUGCCAAGCGACAAGGCACCGGGCCCUGAUGGAUUCACGGGUGCCUUUUUCAAGGCAUGUUGGGACACUAUGAAGCCGGACCUCAUGCUUGCCAUCAACCAUUUCUCUGAUCUCCAUGCUACUCACUUCCAUCGGUUGAACUCGGCUGACAUUGCCCUCAUUCCGAAAAAGGACGGUGCUGAGGACAUCGCCGACUUUCGUCCCAUCAAUCUUAUACAUGUUGUUGCUAAACUAAUUGCUACGAUGAUGUCCAACCGGCUUGCCCCACACAUGAAUCAACUCGUCUCACACACCCAAAGUGCGUUCAUUAAAAGAAGAUGCAUCCAUGACAAUUUCAUGUAUGUGCGCAAUCUCGCGAGACGCUUCCACCGUAGAAAAACCCCGGCGUUGCUCUUCAAGCUUGAUAUCAAAAAGGCCUUCAACUCCGUUCGGCGGGACUUCCUCCUCGACCUGCUUCGACACCUUGGUUUCCCGCCCCGCUUUCGUGGUUGGGUUUCGACACUGCUAUCCUCAGCUUCGUCGCGUGUUUUGCUCAAUGGCGUGCCCGGCGAUCCCAUCAAGCUUGGUCGUGGGUUGAGGCAAGGGGACCCUCUAUCCCCCCUGUUAUUCAUGCUCGCUAUCGACCCGCUGCACCACAUCCUUGUGAAGAUCACGGUUCAAGGAAAUCUUCACCCGCUCGGCGGAAAUGCUAUGCCUAUUCGUGCUUCGCUCUAUGCAGAUGACGCCAUUGUUUUUCUUGCGCCUAUUAAGGAGGACGUCCAAUUUUUCGCUGAAACUCUCAAGCACUUUAGUGAGGUCACCGGCCUAGUCACAAAUUGUUCAAAAAGUUGUGUCGCCCCAAUCCGUUGCAAAAAUGUUGAUCUUUCGGACAUCCUCCAAUCCUUCCCGGCCAAGCGUUCCUCCUUUCCGAUGAAAUACCUUGGGUUGCCUUUGUCCGUGAAGAGGCUGAAGAGAAUCCACUACCAACCCAUAGAGGACAAGGUGGCGAGUCAGCUCACUCCUUGGGUGGGAAGGCAUAUUGCCUCGGCGGAUCGUGCGGUCUUGGUCAAGUCGGUCCUCUCGGCGAUUGCUAUCAACUACAUGAUGGUGUUACAGUUACCGGUCGAGGUCAAAUAGAAGAUUGAUGCCCUCAGACGUGCUUUCCUUUGGGCAGGUUGUGAUAAGGUCACUGGUGGAAAAUGCAAGAUAAAUUGGGAGCAGGUGUGCAAGUCCAAGAUGCAUGGAGCCCUUGGAAUCCUAAAUCUUGACAAGUUUGCCAUUGCUCUUCGCCUUCGUUGGUUGUGGGCCGAGUGGCUUCACCCAGACAAGCCAUGGGUUGGCUUGGGAACCCCAUGUGAUGACAAUGACAGAAAUAUCUUUGCUGCGGCUACCAAGGUCCAAGUUGGGGAUGGUAUGCGUGCCAAGUUCUGGGAGUCUCCUUGGCUUGAUGGUAUUAGACCCAAAGACCUGGCUCCUAAAAUCUUUGACUUGUCGAAGAAGAAGAAUUGCUCGGUCCGAAUGGCUCUGCAUGAGAACUUCUGGACUUGCCAGGUGGACAUUCUUCAAGGCAUCACCGUCGAACACCUCGUUGAGUUUGUCACCCUUUGGGAGAGGGUCUCCCACGUCAACCUCGACGUCGACACACCCGACAACAUAACGUGGAAGUUCACUACUGACGGUCUCUACUCAGCGGCGUCGGCCUACAAGGCGCAAUUCUUGGGCCAUACUGACACAACCAUGAUCCCGACCGUUUGGAAGAUUUGGGCUCCUCCUAAAUGUAAGUUCUUCGCAUGGCUGGCAAUCAACAAUAGGAUUUGGACGGCGGACAGGCUUCAACGUCGUGGGUGGCCAAAAUGUAAUCUUUGUCCACUAUGCAAACAAGUCCAGGAGUCGGGGGCCCACCUACUAUUCCAAUGCCGAUACACUAUUAGAGUUUGGCGCAUGGUCAAAGAUUGGCUUGGUCUCCAGGAUGUGCAUCCUUCUGAUUGGAGUGACGCGACUUCCGCCAAAGAGUGGUGGAGCCACAAUGCUAACAGGAAGAACCAAUCGCUAAAGCCACUUGCUUCCUUGAUGCUUCUCAUCUCUUGGGAAUUGUGGAAAGAGAGGAAUGCACGGAUCUUCCGUAACGAGGCCGUUCCAGUGGGUGUCAUUUUCACUAGGAUUAAAGAGGAAACCUCGCUUUGGAGCAUUGCGGGGGCGAAGCACUUGAGUAACGUAAUGCCGCGAGAGUGAUUAUUGUAAUUCGGCCAUGGGCCUUAAACCUCUAAAACUUCUCUCUUAAUCAAUGAAAAUGGCAAAUCUUUUGCCUCGUUUAAAAAAAAUAUAGACUGUGUACAUGUCAUGGCACCAAGCUAGGAAGUAUACAUAAUAGGAGAUGAUGAUGAUGUAAUAUCAUGAUGCUGAGAUCUAGGAAAGACUCGCAGAGUCGCAGGCAAUCUGUCCCAAACUAUGGUGGCAUCGUUCGGGUAGAGAUGUUAGUAGGAUGAACCAACACCGACAGAAGUGACACGAGCAAAGAAGAGUGUGGAACUCUAGAGCUCCCCCUGUGAGCUGCCAGCAGGAUCAACAUCAGUGUGCUUCAAACCUCAAGUUGAGUCAGAACAGGAACCAAAAUUGGUAAGAGCAUCUAGUCUGCACCAUAGCCUGAAGUAGUUUUUGUAGUGGCACAGAAUGAACCGGCGAGACCGACAAAUAGGAAGGGGAUGUUUGAGAGCACGUUCAAUGUUUUAGGGAUCCCUGAGAAAGUAAUUGAGCCAAAGGUACAGUUCACUCCCUCCCCAGUUUCCCUCUUUCUCAAGGAGCGCACGCAAGUACACGUACAAAGCUGCUGGUUUCGGACGAGUUGCACACGUACGAUCCUAAGCAGCCAGCCAGGCAGCUGGAUCAAAUCGCCGGCUUGAUCGCUCACUCUCUCGCCGAAACACACCACGAACACGACGACACAGGAGACUCGCCGACUUAUUGCCACAGGUGCCUGUCGCACCAGUUAAUUCUAGAUCUCACGUUUUAUGAAAAAGGUUUUGCCCCCGCUUUAUAUUAUAAAACAUUCAUCACCGAUUACAACCGAGAGCCGAUACAAACACACACCACCACUACACACCACGCACCCUAGGCAAGAACACACACCCAGGGCGAGAUAUAAAGAUGCCGGGCACCAACACACCACUCCAACGAACUACAAAGCACACUAAAGAUGAGCAAAGAGGCAUCGCCUUAAGCCGACGGAAAUCACUAUGAGCAACCACCGAGGAGAGGUGAGACGACCGACGGCAGAACAAGGACUUCAAAACAGUGCCUCCAACAAGGGCACGACCAUAGCCGCCACUGUCCGAUCCCGCAAAUCAAGCUUUCGCCUGCAGUAACCCGAAGGGGAAGGGAGCACCACGACGGAGCCUGCAGGGAGGAAACUACGUCCGCGGACGCCGCCACCGUCGGCCCAUAUGAGAACUGGGCAAGUGAUGACCCCCGGUGCACCAACCCUUCGGCACACCCCCGCUCCGCCAACCACCCUCAUUCAUGCCGCGCGCGCGGCCCUGUCUGCCCGCCCGCACCCGAGUUGCGCAAUCUGCCCAAGAUAAACGGAUCUCCCACCGCCAGGGCCGCCGUCCAGCAUCAAGACCGUCCCGGCACCCUCAAAGGAGAGGGCUUUUGAUGGAGCCAACUUCCACCACCGCCGCAACCGGCAACGAUCGUCCCGCCUCAGACAUCGCCGGGACAACAACCACGAAGCAUCAGGUAGGGGAAAGGGGAAGGCGAGGUGCGACAACUACCCUUUCCCCCCGAAGCACCUGCUUUGCCCCAGCCCUGCUAUUGGCACAGCUCAACGCGUGGCCACCGACGGCCGCUAGUCCGACAAAGGGGGGAGAAGAGCCAGCACCGCCGCCGCCGCGAAGGAGGGGUCCAGGAACAGCCCGCCCGCGCCCCACGCCGCCGUCCACCGCCGAGAAGGGCGCCCAACUGCACCACGGAGCCCGCACGCGCCACCACCACCUACCGCCACGCCACCAGCACCGCCACCCCUCUGCACGGCGGUGCCAGCCGCCCGCGGCCCUGCUGCACCCAGCCCGCGCCGCCGGAAGAGGCGUCAGAGCCAGAUCGGGUCGGAUCUAACCCCACCUACGCGCACCACCUGACGGGCCGGCUGCCACCGAAGGCGCAGCCAGCCACCACGUCGGCAGCAUGGAGGCGCACCAAGCCGCAUCCGCCCAUCGACGCCGAGAUACCUGGCGCCUGCAUCCCGCCCUGGCCCGAAGGGAAUGGCCCGCGCCCGCCACGCCGCGCGAGACGGCGCGAGAAGUCCCGCCGCCACCGCCACAGCCCGGGCGCGCACCCUGGCGGCAGCGAGGGAGGUGAAGGGAGGGGAGGGGACGGCGGCAGCGGGGAUUUGGGUUGCCUCACGUUCGCCGCGCAGGGGCGACGCGGGGGGAGGGGGGUUCGAUCUCACGUUUUACAAGGGGUAGAGUAUGUAGAGUCUCUCGAAACAGGCUUUUGCCCCCCUAUAAAUAAAGACACGAACCGAACUAGGUACGCGGCCAAACGAUACAUGUUGGUGAGGUGACCCUCAUACAAAGAUGAUCCUACACUACCCAGAUCGCGAAGCAGACAAGCAACUAUGCUACCCAAUGGGAACACAGGGAGAAUGGAGCACAAUCACGCAACACCCUAGGACACCUAAGCUCCUAGACAAUGCCCCCAACAGAGAGAACAACUCAGAGCGUCGUCGUUGCCUAUCCCCACCGUGCAAGGGUCUUCACUCGGAACUCUGACGCGGCGAGGAGAUCCACGGCGACGUCUUCAGGAAGUGAACGGUGCCUGCAAGCGUCGCCGUCGCCGGUGCAAAAGCGCGGACCUUUCGCUCGGCACCCCAUCCUAAGUCACUGAGGCCCUAGGGCAAACGCGGCAUGCCCAGACCCUAGAUCCAGAUCUGGGCGACCUCCAGCAGAGGACGCCCCCGAGCCACCAACUGCUAUCCCUCUCAUCGCCAGCACGACAAAGAAGGGAGCCACCACCGCCGACAUGGCGCCCGUCGGAGAGGCAACCAUCCGAACCACCAUCCGGAGCCGCCGCUCCGGCAUCCAAGUCCAAGACCUCACCCACCGGCCACCACAGAGUACCAGCCACGGUAGGAAUAGCGAAAGUCCACAUCUUUCAUUCCUAACCCGACAUGAGCCACGAAGGCUGGGCCUGCGCCACCACUGCAAGGCCCCCAGCCCUGUGUCCCCGACAUGAGCCGGACUGGGUGAGACACACCUCUGCGAUUCCCGACGACCGUCGCCAAGUACACUCAGACAACGCCGUGUCCAUGGCCCUCGACUCCGUGUUGCCCGACAGUACCGUGAAGUCCCGAAUAUUAGCAGCGACCACCGUACCACCGGAGGGAGGGACUCGCCUAUCGUGGGUACAUCCUGGAUCGAGCCCAAUCUGACCCACCCAGAGCGGCAACUCCGACACGCCUCAGGCCCCGGUCAGAUCCUCCCGAGCAAGCGCCCCCGAUCAUAGCCAUUCUAGAUCGAGGAGAAGGAAGAUCACAUCCGCCACACGGCGCCGCCGAUGGGGCAUGUCCAUCGGAGAGCGCCGCCGCCUCCACUGACCCGCUCCACCCGCACCCCGGUCAAGCCGGUCACCGCGGCCAUACCGCCGGACCCUCCCGACAGGGCACACCACCACUCCGGACCACCACCGGCACCCGAAGCCACCGGCGACGGCCGGCCCACACCACCACAGCCCGCGUCGCUCACGAGAUGGUGGCCGGACAAGCCCCCGAUGCAGAUCAGCAAGGUCCAUUGCCGCCUCGCCAAGCACGCCCCGCCCCGGACAUCCAGCAGCCGCCAGCAACAGAUGUCGCCGCCGAAUCUCGCCGGUCCACCACGGCCAGCAGCCAACGCCGUCCAGGACCUGCAGAGGCCGCCGGCCCCGCGCCGCCCAUGGCUCCCAGCGCCAGAUCGGGGCGCGAGCAGCAGCAAGCACGCCCCUCCAGCCACCAGCCGACGCACCGUGCAAGGCCCCAGCCGUCGAUCGUUGGAAGGGCACCCGCCGCGCCGCCGCGACCCACCAACCACGGUGCCCUGGCCCGUUGAAGCGCCCCACACCGAUGCCACAUGCGAGGGGACGAGGAGGCCCGCCGCCGCCAGCGCCAGCCAGGCUUUGCCUAGCCGCACCCUGUGGCGGCGGCGGGGGAGGAAGGGGACGGGAGGAGGGGAGGAGGCCAGCGGCGCCUAGCGUUCCCUCCCCGUCGCCUGUGGGGCGAGGCUGGAAGGGUGGGUCGAGAGUAUAUAGUGGCGAAGCCCUCGCGUCUUACAAGAUCUGUACCAUCAUUCAUACCUAACAUUCCUCAGUUUGUAGAGUGGCCAGGCCCUCGCAUUAGCAGCCAAUUUAGCUGAUAUAAUCAAAGCAGCAAACAUAAUGCUGACCACUCAGAAGCUUUUCCUUGGUACUGACCAAAAAAAGCAUGCUGAUUUGUCUAAAUUGUAAUUCGAAUGAUUUUGUGGUUCUACGGAUGGAAGACUGUGAGAGCGUGCAAGCUUCAAUGCCUGAGAUUUGGUUUUGCUGGAACAGGAACCACCCAUGCCGAAAUAUAAACAACUUUGAUUGAGUAGACGAAGGGCUCAGCUUUACAUACUGACAGACAUACACUUUGUCUAGGAAAAGGUAGCAUUAGGUGAAGUUCAAGUGCUACAUGUUCCUACUAGCGCUCAGUUACCAAGGGGGCCCCACGGCGGUUUUCAUCAACAUUCGCUCCAGUCUGAACAUCAUCAAGCCCGCCGUUGAUGCUGUUGCGGGUGUUAGACUCAAGAUUCGGCCUCAUCCCACUACCUGCACGAUCACACCACGAUCCCCAGCGACUUUAGCCUUCAGUUGUAUGGCUCGGUCCCUCCAUAUGCAACCACUGUACUCUGUAAAGAAUAUAGCCUUGAUUCCCCCAAAUAUCAUGCACAACGCCCAAGGGCUGGCUUUAGUCAUAUUUAUACUAGACCUAACACAUACUCCCCAUCUGUUCACAAAUUCAUGAAGCAGAAUGUGCUCUCUGUAUUGGUUUACUCCAAUAUCUCAGCAAAGUAAGAAUGUGCAGUAUAGAUUGUUCCACAAACAAAGGACCUCCAUAUAUGCAUUGUGUGGGUGGUGAAGAAACUUCCACUUGCAUAUAUAGUCUCGAUUCCCCUGCUACCAAAGAGAUCAUCAUAUUGCCAUGACCAUUUGCAUUACUAUGGCAUGGUAGAUCGUCAUGCUUGUUCUGUUUCCUUUUUAUCCUGCGGGCGACCCAGGCGGAACCCUAGCCGCCGAGUGAGCUCCCUCCUCGCCAGAUCUCCCUUCCCCUCGCCGCUGCCAGCAGGCGCUGCCGGGCAAAGACCGCGCAGCGUCAGCGGCGGCGGGGCACUCCGGUUCUCCCUCUCAUGGUGCUUGGGCGUUGCAGGGCGUCCGCCGUGGUAGCGCGUGGUCGCCGUGGCGAGCUUGCGUUGGGGCUGCGCGCCGAGUGUGUACGACGCACGGGAGCGCGUGCGGUGCGCGGACGCAGGCGUGGGGAUCUGGCUCUCAUGGCGCGGCGCCGGUUGGCAGAUCGUCUCUCGGGGCGGCAGCCUCGAUCGGUGGCGCGCGGUGCGGCCUGCCUGGCGGGUGGCAUCCGCGGGUGCAGAUGGGGGCCUUCCACAACUGCGUGGGCGAGGUGGAGGCGUCGGUGCUGCAAUGGCUCCUCGAUGGCCGACCGGAGUUCCAUGAGAGGCGUCGUCUCCGACUCGAUCUACUCCGGUUCGUGCUGGCUACGGUAGCGACUAUGGGCGACGCCAAUGCUGCCUGGACGGAUCUGGCGGGUGGGCAUGGAUCCGGGGGAAACUCCAGGCCAGCGUGGCGGCCGCACCAAAGUCGAUGCCCUCGAUCGGCGCCGAUUCCCUUCCUGGAGGCUUCGGUGUGGAUGCUACGCCCCCCACCUCUGCCAUGAGCGCAGGAGAAAGCCUCUCUUCCUCUGUUUGGGUGACGAUGGCACUUUGGUGUCAUAUUCCUUCCUGAAGGUGUCGGCCAGGGACUGCUCAGGGUGGUGGAGUUGCUGGUAGUUCGGAGUCGACGCGAGAUGGCAUGUAGGCGGAGCGGUGUGGCAUCAACCGUAUCGUCGAUGGUGGUUCUCGGCAGCAUGGCGCAGUGGAGACUCGGCGUCUGAUGCGCGGAGAUGGACUCGCGCAGGAGGAGGAAGUUGUAUGGCGUCAUGGUGGCGUUGAUGCCAGAGAGGCCUCGCAAGGUUGGUGCAUCAGUUCUACUCUGAGGAUGGACCGAUGGAAGAUGGAGGUGACGGCCCUUGCAGCGUGCGGUGCUCACUGGGAGUGUGCCGGACCGGUGCGGGACCCAAUCCAGGUAGUGGCUUGGAUGGGACACCCGGCUUUAGAUGUUAGGCUUUGGUCCAAUGUCUGUUUGGUAUUAGGCCCGGACAUUCGGCACACCUUCAUCAAGGGGAUAGGAGUAGCAACAGCGUUGCCAAGAUAGUGGCUUCAGACUUAUUGAUGUAUCACCUUAUAUGAUUUUUGUUAAUAAUUAAUAAUAUGGCUGCAUGCAUCGUCCAGAUGCAGAGAAUGGGGGUACAUCCUCCUUUUCUAAAAAAAAUGCUUGUUCUGUUUCACAGAAAUGCCGUUUUUACUGUUCUAAUCACCAGUACAUCUCUGCCAAAAAGAAAACAAGGAACUCUGAAAUCAUUUGUUAACUACAUGGAACUCUGAAGGGUGAAAUAUGAAUCCAGGGCUCGCAAUCCAUGGCAACAAAUGCAUGGUAAAACAGAGCAAAUCUCGGGCCAGAGCUCCCAUAUCCGUAUCGCAGUUAUUAGCCCAUAUCCGCAUCAGGAACCAUACAUGUAUUUGUCGACAGUGAAGGAACGCAAGAUAAACAUUGCCCGAUUCAGAAGAUGACACAUCAACUGCUACUCUCAGCACAAACGGACAUGGACUGAACUGCUCACCCUGACGAAAUAAAGUGGAUAUGGUCUCGGUACNNNNNNNNNNNNNNNNNNNNNNNNNNNNNNNNNNNNNNNNNNNNNNNNNNNNNNNNNNNNNNNNNNNNNNNNNNNNNNNNNNNNNNNNNNNNNNNNNNNNNNNNNNNNNNNNNNNNNNNNNNNNNNNNNNNNNNNNNNNNNNNNNNNNNNNNNNNNNNNNNNNNNNNNNNNNNNNNNNNNNNNNNNNNNNNNNNNNNNNNNNNNNNNNNNNNNNNNNNNNNNNNNNNNNNNNNNNNNNNNNNNNNNNNNNNNNNNNNNNNNNNNNNNNNNNNNNNNNNNNNNNNNNNNNNNNNNNNNNNNNNNNNNNNNNNNNNNNNNNNNNNNNNNNNNNNNNNNNNNNNNNNNNNNNNNNNNNNNNNNNNNNNNNNNNNNNNNNNNNNNNNNNNNNNNNNNNNNNNNNNNNNNCGGGAUGAGUUCUACACUGUUGGACAUUCGGAAAAACUAGACCAAGAAUGAGUUGAUGAGGCCACUGACAAAUGUUUUCGUUUGUGUAGAGUAGUACAAUAUUGAUCAGGACCGUUCACAUACUGUCAAUGAACGUUGAUUAGCAGCCAAUAACACACAACGGUGCUCGCUGGAGCUCCCGAUAUUCAGAUUGAUGCUAUUUAACUUUGCAAGUACACGUGAGAAACACAUACAUCUACUGUUGUUCAGAUGUAGUUGAAACUGCAGCAAAAUCAUAUUUGACGGCUAGAGUGUUGCUAUCUUUGGAACGGCGUUCUCUCCAACUGAUCUUCCACAUCUAGAGCAAACUUAUCCUGCAUAGCAGAGGAAAAAACAUUAGCCACAAGGGGACAGAGAAUCAAAGGCAUUAUACAUUACAUAUCCAAGGCGAAUUCAAUGUGAUGAAGUUAUCAAUACCACAUACACAGGACGAAUGCAAAAAUUGUUUUCUGGAAGCGAACCAGAGUAGUAUUAGGUGUACCAUGAAAAGUUUUCUAAGAACCAGCCGUGCAAGGUUCAGUUCAUUUUAAAAAUACCAACAACUUAACUGCAGAUGUCUUAUUCCAAUUUCAUUCUAGUAAUCGAAGUGAACAAAAAAUCAACCUCAUAAGGAGCGAAAACAUCUAAAUUUUCGGGGGCACCUUCGAAGCCGCUGAAUGAUGUUCGAGUCGCGGCUAGCUUGGGGACACUGGUUGGGAAAACCGAGAGGGUGGAUAUGGCCUUUACCCGAGCAAACGGGGUGGCUAGAUUGCUUGUCAGUAUCCUGGAUAUCGAGUAUGUACCAUAUGUGGUUAAGUGGACUCAUAGAGGCAUGAUUUACAACCUCCAGAUCGAGUUCGAGGACACCGAGCUUUUCUCAGAGGCCUUGGCAGGGAACGAUGUUGAUAUGCUUGAUAAGGAUGAUGGCUCGGGUAACAAGGAGGUGUGAGAGGAUGACCGUGGGCGUGAUGCAUCUAACAUCCCGGGUUCCGACGCGUCGUCGCCCGGGAAAGGGACUACACCUUCGACUGUUGCACCCAUGAACACGUUGAGAUUUGGUUCGUUUGAGCCUGCCUCUGCUCCUCCUAGACUAUGGAGCGAUCAGGUGGAGUGUGAUGAUUUGCAUGAGCGAUCGCUUCCUCCCCAGGAUUUUGCUGCUGCUGACACACCGGUGGGUGGUUGUUCUGAUGAGUUGGUUGUUGCGAUAACCUCGGUGGAGAGUACACCGACUCCACCGGCAGUGAUCGGUCUGGGCGCUCAGCUACGCCUCGAUGGUGGGGAUGAUCUUGGGCAGGCGGCCCUACGAUCCCCCUCUCUGAGUGGUGCUUCCCCGCCGGCGAGGAGUCCGUUGAUGACUGGUGCGACGAUGGCCGUGCCGCGGGCCAGCAGGGCGGCCGGACCGGGAGGGGGGCACGGGCAGGAGGCCUCCGCCCCUGCCUCUCCCAUGGCGCACAUGGUUGCGGUGGCCGGACCGGGAGGGGGGGGGGCGGCAGGAGGCCUCCGCCCCUGCCUCUCCCAUGGCGCACACGGCUGCGGCGGCGUCCGCGUCGUCUACUUGACUCGGGCUCUCGACGCCCACUCGGAGCAUUGCCUUGCAGUAGGUAACGAGCCCGGUGUUGGCCAUGCCACCUUCCGGGGGUGGGGCCAGGUCGGGAGCGGGCGCGGGCAGGUGGCCUCCGCCCCUACUUCUCCCUUGGCGCCAUUGGUUGGUGGGGCUCCCGUGGCGUCCCCGGGAUCCGGACACCGGCCGAUGCCGCGGGAGGCGCCGGGAGCUUCCCCGGUGCUUACAACGGCUCUCGGUUGUACCCCGGCUGCUCCAGUUCAGUUGAGCCCUGUUGGAGGUUGGGCAGGAGGCCCCACCCCAAACGGGGCCACGCGGGAGGAGAUCAUUGCUUUUGGAGGGAUCCCGGAUCCUGUCUCUGAAGGACGAUGGAUGAGUUGUCGCCUCCAGGAUCAGCCUGAUGUUGAUGACAUGCAGCUAAGGUGCGCUAUGCGGGCGGCCAAGCUUCGUGACAUUGAGGUCACUACUGGUAUGUCGGUCAAUACGUCCAAUUCUAUUAUACAUUUUUCCAAUGAUGAGAUCGUUCAUAACGCAAAUCAGUUAGGAGUUUCACUAGGUAGUAAUGGCAGUGAAAUCUCUAAAUCAGUUAAUGAUAUCCUGGAUCUUGAAGCGGAGCGUGCUUUAGAAAUGAUUCGAAACUUAGCAGCCGUUAAACCCAUGAACGAUUCCGACAUAGAUGCGUUGGGAGUCAGGGUUCUUGACAGUUUUUGUGCGGAUCUUGCCCCUUCACUUCCUGAGACAGAUGAGGACGAAGGAUAUAGUUCCCCAAGGGACUCUACCCUUGUAGGUGUUCAGGAGGUUAGGUCCACGGAGCCCGGUUGUGAGGACCGGCUGGAGGAUCAAAAUAAGCCUAAACGGAAGUGGAAACGAAAGAUUUAUCCAGCUUCGGCUGUGCGUAGAAGUGUUAGGAUCCGUAUCUCUAAAAAAUUUCAUGAUGAAAUAUGAGGGGAAUUUUUUGGAAUAGCAGAGGUCUUAAAGACUUGGCUAAAAUAAGGUUUCUAGCGGAUGCGUCUAUCGAACACCAGUUGGAUUUUAUCGCCCUUUCCGAAACUGGAAGGGACAAUUUCACCCCCCAGUUCCUUAGCACUUUAUCGGGAGGUGUCGAUUUUGACUGGCAUUGCCUACCUCCAAGAGGAAGGUCCGGUGGGAUCUUACAUGGGGUUGAAUGUGAUUCGUUGGAAGUUCGGAGUGUGGUCAUGGGACAUUUUGCUGUGAAGUUUCGGGUCAGAUCAAAGGUCGAUGGGUUUAAUUGGGCAUUAGUGGCGGUGUAUGGUGCCGCGCAGCCAGAACUCAAACCAGAAUUUUUGGCUGAUCUUGUCCCUAUUUGCGGUAGCAAGCAGCUCCCAAUUCUGGUUGGGGGCGAUUUUAACAUUAUUCGAAGGAGGGAGGAAAAGAAUAAUGAGAAUUUCGACGGAAGAUGGUUGUUUAUGUUUAAUACCAUAAUCAAAAGCUUGGAUCUUAGAGAGAUAGAACUUUCUGGCAGAAAAUUCUCUUGGGCUAAUACGUUGCCAAACCCGACAUUUGAGAAGGUGGAUCGUGUCCUCGCUAGCGUUGAAUGGGAGCAGAAGUUUCCCUGGUAAUAGUCCAAGUGUUAUCACGUGCGAUCUCGGACCACACCCCGCCGCUCGUUGACUCUGGCGAGGCAACCCAUGUGGGGAAUAAAAACACUUUUUCUUUCGAAUUAGCAUGGUUCGAAAGAGAAGGGUUCCUGGAUCUGAUAGCAAGGGAAUGGGCUAAAGAUUCAGGAGGGAGGUCCCCUGUUAAAAGAUAGCAGAAUAAGAUAAGGCAUGUACGAAGAUUCCUUCGUGGGUGGGACUUAUAAGGUUGAAAAGGAAAGGCUCCUUGUACUAAUUCAAUCCCGAGAUUUAAAAGCCGAGUCCACCAUUUUGGAUACCAGGAAGCUGGAAACUAAAGUGGAGGCGGAGAUGAGAAUGAAAGAACUACUUCGAGAGGAGGAAUUGAAUUGGGCAUCGCGAGCUAAAGUUUGCAAAAUCGUCCAAGGGUAUGAUAACACUCAAUUCUUUCAUAUGAUUGUGAAUGGUAAGCACCGAAAGAAGAUGAUAUUUCAGCUUGAGCAGGAUGGGACGAUUUUAGGACAGGAAAACCUAAAAUUAUAUAUAACCAAUUACUAUAAGCAGAUGUUUGGGCCUCCGAAGGAUAACUUCGUAUCCUUGGAUGAGUCCAGGGUUGAGGAUGUCCCCCAAGUUGCUGCGGAUGAGAAUGAUAUUUUGACCGCCCCAUUUAUGGAGAAAGAGGUGUUUGAAGCUAUUUCACAAAUGAAGAAUAAUAAGGCUCCAGGGCCGGAUGGUUUCCGGCGGAGUUUUAUAAAAAGUGUUGGCAUAUUGUUAAAGGGGAUUUGUGUUGGGGAACGCAGUAUUUCAAAAAAAAUCCUACGAUCACGUAAGAUCUAUCUAGGAGAUGCAUAGCAACGAGACGGGAGAGUGUGUCCACGUACCCUCGUAGACCGAAAGAUGAAGUGUUUAGUAACGCGGUUUAUGUAGUCGAACGUCUUCACGAUCCAACCGAUCCAAGUACCAAGCGUACGGCACCUCUGUGUUCAGCACACGUUCAGCAUGAUGACGUCCCUCGAGCCCUGAUCCAGUUGAGGAUGAGGGGGAGUUCCGUCAACACGAUGGCGUGGCGACGGUGAUGAUGAAGUAACCGGCGCAAGGGCUUCGCCUAAGCAGUACGACGAUGUGACCGAGGUGUUAACUGUGGAGGGGGGAGGCAGCCUAUGGCGCGCCCAAGUAGGCCUACUUGGGCCCCUAGUCCAAUCCCCCCCCCCCCCGACCAUAUUUGGACAAGGCGGAAAGGAAGGACGGGGGAUGGGAAGGAAGUAGGAGUCCUACUUCAUACUUUCCUUUUCCUCCUCUCCUUUCCCUUUCUCCCCACGUGGCUGGCCCUAUAGGGGGCGCACCAGCCCCUUGUGGGCUGGUGUGUUCCCUUACUUGGCCAUUAAGCCCAUAUCUUUGCCGGGGGUUGCCCGGAACCCCUUCCGGUGACCUGGUAUCACCCAUAACACUUCCGGUGUCCAAAUACCAUCGUCCUAUAUAUGAAUCUUUACAUGUCAACCAUUUCGAGACUCCUCUUUAUGUCCGUGAUCUCAUCCGGGACUUCGAACAAACUUCGGUCAUCAAAUCACAUAACUCAUAAUACAAAUCAUCAUCGAACGUUAAGCGUGCGGACCCUACGAGUUCGAGAACUAUGUAGACAUGACCGAGACACAUCUCUGGUCAAUAACCAAUAGCGGAACCUAGAUGCUCAUAUUCGCUCCAACAUAUUCUGCGAAGAUCUUUAUCGGUCAAACUGCAUAACAACAUACGUUGUUCCCUUUGUCAUCGGUACGUUACUUGCCCGAGAUUCGAUCGUCAGUAUCAUCAUACCUAGUUCAAUCUUGUUAUCGGCAAGUCUCUUUACUCGUUUCGUAAUGCAUCAUCCUGUGACUAACUCAUUAGUCACAUUGCUUGCAAGGCUUAUAGUGAUGUGCAUUACCGAGAGGGUCCAGAGACACCUCUCCGAUACAUAGAGUGACAAAUCCUAAUCUCGAUCUAUGCCAACCCAACAAACACCUUUGGAGACAUCUGUAGAGCAUCUUUAUAAUCACCCAGUUACGUUGCUACGUUUGAUAGCACACAAGGUGUUCCUCCGGUAUUCGGGAGUUGCAUAAUCUCAUAGUCGGAGGAACAAGUAUAAGUCAUGAUGAAAGCAAUAACAAUAAAACUAAACGAUCAUUAUGUUAAGCUAACGGAUGGGUCUUGUCCAUCACAUCAUUCUCUAAUGAUGUUAUCCCGUUCAUCAAAUGACAACACAUGUCUAUGGUUAGGAAACAUAACCAUCUUUGAUUAACGAGCUAGUCAAGUAGACGCAUACUAGGGACACUUUGUUUUGUCUAUGUAUUCACACAUGUACUAAGUUUCCGGUUAAUACAAUUCUAGCAUGAAUAAUAAACAUUUAUCAUGAUAUAAGGAAAUAUAAAUAACAACUUUAUUAUUGCCUCUAGGGCAUAUUUCCUUCAGUCUCCCACUUGCACUAGAGUCAAUAAUCUAGUUCACAUCGCCAUGUGAUUUAACACACUAGUUCACAUCACCAUGUGAUUAGUUCAACUCGCCAUGUGACUAAUACCCAAAGGGUUUUACUAGAGUCAGUAAUCUAGUUCACAUCGCUAUGUGAUUAACACCCAAAGAGUACUAAUGUGUGAUCAUGUUUUGCUUGUGAGAGAAGCUUAGUCAAUGGGUCUGUCAUAUUCAGAGCCGUAUGUAUUUUGCAAAUUUUCUAUGUCUACAAUGCUCUGCAUGAAGCUACUCUAGCUAAUUGCUCCCACUUUCAUUAUGUAUCCAGAUUGAGACCCAGAGUCAUCCGGAUCGGUGUAAAAGCUUGCAUCGGCGUAACUCUUUACGACGAACACUUUAUCACCUCCAUAACCGAGAAAUAUCUCCUUAGUCUUCUAAGGAUAAUUUUGACCGCUGUCAAGUGAUCCACUCCUGGAUCAAUAUCAUACCCCCUUGCCAAACUUAUGGCAAGGUACACAAUAGGUUUGGUACACAGCAUAGCAUACUUUAUAGAACCUAUGGCUGAGGCAUAGGAAAUGACUUUCAUUCUCUUUCUAUUUUCUGCCGUGGUCGUGUUUUGAGUCUUACUCAACUUUACACCUUGCAAUACAGGCAAGAACUCCUUCUUUGACUGUUCCAUUUUGAACUACUUCAAAAAUCUUGUCAAGGUAUGUACUCAUUGAAAAAUCUUAUCAAGCGUCCUGAUCUCUCUCUAUAGAUCUUGAUGCCUAAUAUGUAAGCAGCUUCACCGAGGUAUUUCUUGAAAAACUCCUUUCAAACACUCCUUUAUGCUUUUUAGAAAAUUCUACAUCAUUUCCGAUCAACAAUAUGUCAUUCACAUAUACUUAUCAGAAAGGUUGUAGUGCUCCCACUCACUCUCUUGUAAAUACAGGCUUCACCGCAAGUCUGUAUAAAACUAUAUGCUUUGAUCAACUCAUCAAAUCGUAUAUUCCAACUCCGAGAUGCUUGCACCAGUCCAUAGAUGGAUCGCUGGAGCUUGCACAUUUUGUUAGCACCUUUAGGAUUGAUAAAACCUUCUGAUUGUAUCAUAUACAACUCUUCUUUAAUAAAUCUAUUGAGGAAUGCAGUUUUGACAUCCAUUUGUCAUAUUUCAUAAAAUGUGGCAAUUGCUAACAUGAUUCGGACAGACUUUAAGCAUCGAUACGAGUGAGAAAAUCUCAUCGUAGUCAACACCUUGAACUUGUUAAAAACCCUUUUCGACAAGUCAAGCUUUGUAGAUAGUAACACUACUAUCAGCGUCCGUCUUCCUCUUGAAAUCCAUUUAUUCUCAAUGGCUUGCCGAUCAUCGGGCAAGUCCACCAAAGACCACAAAUUGUUUUCAUACAUGGAUUCUAUCUCAGAUUUCAUGGCCUCAAGCCAUCUGUCCGAAUCUGGGCUCAUCAUCGCUUCCUCAUCGUUCAUAGGUUCAUCAUGGUCUAGUAACAUGACUUCCGGAACAGGAUUACCGUACCACUCUGGUGCGGAUCGUACUCUGGUUGACCUACGAGGUUCAGUAGUAACUUGAUCUGAAGUUUCAUGAUCAUCAUGAUUAACUUCCUCACUAAUUGGUGUAGGCAUCACUGGAACUGAUUUUAGUGAUGAGCAACUUUCCAAUUCGAGAGAAGCUACAAUUACCUCAUUAAGUUCUACUUACCUCCCACUCACUUCUUUCGAGAGAAACUCCUUCUCUAAAAAGGAUCCACUCUUAGCAACAAAGAUUUUGCCUUCGGAUCUGUGAUAGAAGGUGUACCCAACAGUUUCUUUUGGGUAUCCUAUGAAGACACACUUCUCCGAUUUGGGUUUGAGCUUAUCAGGCUGAAACUUUUUCACAUAAGCAUCGCAACCCCAAACUUUAAGAAACGACAGCUUAGGUUUCUUGCUAAACCACAGUUCAUACGAUGUCGUCUCAACGGAUUUUUAGACGGUGCCCUAUUUAGCGUGAAUGCAGCUAUCUCUAAUGCAUAACCCUAAAACGAUAGUGGUAAAUCGGUAAGAGACAUCAUACACCAUAUCUAAUAAAGUACGGUUACGACGUUCGGACACACCAUUACGCUGUGGUGUUCCAGGUGGCGUGAGUUGCGAAACUAUUCCACAUUGUUUCAAAUGAAGGCCAAACUCGUAACUCAAAUAUUCGCCUCGCGAUCAGAUCGUAGAAACUUUAUUUUCUUGUUACGAUGAUUCUCAACUUCACUCUGAAAUUCUUUGAACUUUUCAAAUGCUUCAGACUUGUGUUUCAUUAAGUAGAUAUACCCAUAUCUGCUCAAAUCAUCUGUGAAGGUCAGAAAAUAACGAAACCCACCGCGAGCCUCAACACUCAUCGGACCGCAUACAUCGGUACGUAUUAUUUCCAAUAAGUCAGUGGCUCACUCCAUUGUUCCGGAGAAUGGAGUCUUAGUCAUCUUGUCCAUGAAGCAUGGUUCGCAAGCAUCAAGUGAUUCCAAGCCCACCAGCAUGGAGUUUCUUCAUGCGCUUUACAUCAAUAUGACCUAAAUGGCAGUGCCACAAAUAAGUUGCACUAUCAUUAUUAACCUUGCAUCUUUUGGCUUCAAUAUUAUGAAUAUGUGUAUCACCACAAUCGAGAUUCAAUAAACCAUUCACCUUGGAUGUAUGACCACAGAAGGUUUUAUUCAUAUAAACAGAAUAACAAUUAUUCUUUGACUUAAAUGAAUAAUCAUAUUGCAAUAAACAUGAUCCAAUCAUAUUAUGCUCAACGCAAACACCAAAUAACAUUUAUUUUAGGUUCAACACUAAUCCCGAAGGUAAAGGGAGUGUGCGAUGGUGAUCUUAUCAACCUUGGAAUCACUUCCAAGACACAUCGUCACCUUGCCCUCAACUAGUCUUUGUUCAUUUUAUAACUCCUGUUUCAAGUUACUAAUCAUAGCAACUGAACCAGUAUCAAAUACCCAGGGGCUACUAUGAAUACUAGUAAAGUACACAUCAAUAACAUGUAUAUCAUAUAUACUUUUGUUUACUUUGCCAUCCUUCUUAUCCGCCAAGUAUCUGUGGUAGUUCCGCUUCCAGUGACCAUUUCCUUUGCAGUAGAAGCACUCAGUUUCAGGCUUGGAUCUAGCUUUGGGCUUCUUCAUGGGAGUGGCAACUUGCUUGUCAUUCUUCUUGAAGUUCCCUUUCUUUCCCUUGCCCUUUUACUUGAAACUAGUGGUCUUGUCAACCAUCAACACUUGAUGCUUUCCUUAAUUUCUACCUUCGCCGAUUUCAGCAUCACGAAGAGCUCGGGGAAUCGUUUACGUCAUCCCUUGCAUAUUAUAGUUCUUCACGAAGUUCCAGUAACUUGGUGAUAGUGACUGAGAAAUCUGUCAAUCACUAUCUUAUCUGGAAGAUUAAAUCCCACUUGAUUCAAGCGAUUGUAGUACUCAGACAUUCUGAGCACAUGCUCACUGGUUAAGCUAUUCUCCUCCAUCUUGUAGGCAAAAAUACUUGUCAGAGGUCUCAUACCUCUCGACUCGGGCAUGAGUCUGAAAUACCAAUUUCAACUCUUGGAACAUCUCAUAUGCAGCAUGGCGUUUCAAAACAUUUUUGAAGUCCCGGUUCUAAGCCGUAAAGCAUGGUGUACUAAACUAUCAAGUAGUCAUCAUACCGAGCUUGUCAAAUGUUCAUAACGUCUGCAUUUGCUCCUGCAAUAGUUCAGUCACCUAGCGGUGCAUCAAGAACAUAAUUCUUCUGUGCAGCAAUGAGGAUGAUCCUCAGAUCACGGACCUAGUCCGCAUCAUUGCUACUAUCAACUUUCAACUUAGUUUUCUCUAGGAAUAUAUCAUAAAUAAAACGGGGAAGCUAUGCGCGUGCAAUUGAUCUACAACAUAGAUAUGCAAAUACUACCAGGACUAAGUUCAUGAUAAAUUUAAGUUCAAUUAAUCAUAUUACUUAAGAACUCCCACGUAGAUAGACAUCCCUCUAGUCAUCUAAAUGAUCACGUGAUCCAUAUCAACUAAACCAUGUCCGAUCAUCACAUGAGAUGGAGUAGCAUUCAAUGGUGAACAUCACUAUGUUGAUCAUAUCUACUAUAUGAUUCACGUUCGACCUUUCGGUCUCAGUGUUCCGAGGCCAUAUCUGCAUAUACUAGCCUCGUCAAGUUUAACCCGAGUAUUCUACAUGUGCAAAACUGGCUUGCACCCGUUGUAUGUGAACGUACAGCUUAUCACACCCGAUCAUCACGUGGUGUCUCAACACGAAGAACUGUCACAACGGUGCAUACUCAAGGAGAACACUUAUACCUUGAAAUUUUAGUAAGGGAUCAUAUCAUAAUGCUACCGUCGUACUAAGAAAAAUAAGAUGCAUAAAAGAUAAAUAUCACAUGCAAUCAUAAUAUGUGACAUGAUAUGGCCAUCAUCAUGUUGUGCCUUUGAUCUCCAUCUCCAAAGUACCGUCAUGAUCUCCAUUGUCACCGGCAUGACACCAUGAUCUCCUUCAUCUUGAUCUUUAUCAACGUGUCGUCAAAUGGUCGUCUCGCCAACUAUUGCUUUUGCAACUAUUGCUAUCGCAUAGCGAUAAAGUAAAGCAAUUAUAUGGCGCUUGCAUCUUAUGCAAUAAAGAGACAACCAUAAGGCUCCUGCCAGUUGCCGAUAACUUCUACAAAACAUGAUCAUCUCAUACAAUAAUUUAUAUAUCAUCACGUCUUGACCAUAUCACAUCACAACAAGCCCUGCAAAAACAAGUUAGACGUCCUCUACUUUGUUGUUGCAAGUUUUACGUGGCUGCUUUCUAGCAAGAACCGUUCUUACAUACGCAUCAAAACCACAAAGAUUUUUCAUCAAGUGUGCUGUUUUAACCCUCAACAAGGACCGGGCGUAGUCAAACUCGAUUCAACUAAAGUUGGAGAAACAGACACCCGCCAGCCACCAGUGUGCAAAGCACGUCGGUAGAACCAGUCUCAUGAACGUGGUCAUGUAAUGUCGGUCUGGGCCGCUUCAUCCAACAAUACCGCCGAACCAAAGUAAGACGUUGCUGGUAAGCAGUAUGACUAUUAUAAGCCACAACUCUUUGUGUUCUACUCGUGCAUAUAACAUCUACGCAUAGACCUGACUCGGAUGCCACAGUUGGGGAACGCAGUAUUUCAAAAAAAAUCCUACGAUCACACAAGAUCUAUCUAGGAGAUGCAUAGCAACGAGACGGGAGAGUGUGUCCACGUACCCUCGUAGACCGAAAGCGGAAGCGUUUAGUAAUGCGGUUGAUGUAGUCGAACGUCUUCACGAUCCAACCGAUCCAAGUACCGAACGUACGGCACCUCCGUGUUCAGCACACGUUCAGCACGAUGACGUCCCUCGAGCUCUUGAUCCAGUUGAGGACGAGGGAGAGUUCCGUCAGCACGACGGCGGCGACGGUGAUGAUGAAGUUACUGGCGCAGUGCUUCGCCUAAGCACUACGACGAUAUGACUGAGGUGUUAACUGUGGAGGGGGGGCACCGCACACGGCUAGGAACAAUUGAUGUGUGUUCUAGGGGUGCCCUGCCCACGUAUAUAAAGGAGGGAGAGGGAGCUUUCGUUAGUAUGAUGAAGACUCCGAAGGAAGGAUGGCCACUUCAUCAUGAUGACCUGGAGCAGAGAAAUGAGGACAUCACCAAAAGGGAUCAACUACUUCGGGAAGAGCAACAAAGACCGAGAAGAAUCGUUUGAAUUUCGUAACCAGAACUUUCCCCCUUACUCCCCUCUUAAAUCUCACGACGAAAUUUCUUGUAGUGGAGGAGUUUUGUAACGCCCGGGUAAUUAAGCUACAGUAAUCCCACAUUAACGGUGCCACGUUACCCCGGUUACUGUUGUUAAUAUCGCGUUGGAUCAAAACUUUUCAAAAAUUAAAUUCAAAAUAAUGUCAACAAUAAAAGUUUUUCAAAAAUUUAAAACAAAAAUGUUCGGGGUGUGCAAAUAAAUGCCUAGGAAUUUGGAUCUGGAUCGGGAAAAGGGGGCUCGGACCACGCCGCCGUAGCCUAGGACCACCUCGCCGGCGCCUCCUCUCCCCCGACGCCCACGACGCCGCGGCCACCGUCGCCUUCCUCUCCCUCGCGGGAUCUCCUCCUCAUCGGCGUCGCGUCACCGUCCUCUUCCUCAACCCCCACUGCCUAGACCCCACGGCCCCGUGGUGAGGCCCCGGCAUCUCCUCCCCCUCCCCUGCUCCGGCCACUUCGGCUAGGGCCUCGCUCACCGGCGCCGCACACGCGCGUGUGACCCUGGCCGCGCCCGCCCGCUUCCCCCGUGCGCGCUCGACGCGCUCCUGGCCGCGCCCUGAAUGCCCCCCGGCCGUACACGCCGCUCCCUCGACGCGCCCAGGCNNNNNNNNNNNNNNNNNNNNNNNNNNNNNNNNNNNNNNNNNNNNNNNNNNNNNNNNNNNNNNNNNNNNNNNNNNNNNNNNNNNNNNNNNNNNNNNNNNNNNNNNNNNNNNNNNNNNNNNNNNNNNNNNNNNNNNNNNNNNNNNNNNNNNNNNNNNNNNNNNNNNNNNNNNNNNNNNNNNNNNNNNNNNNNNNNNNNNNNNNNNNNNNNNNNNNNNNNNNNNNNNNNNNNNNNNNNNNNNNNNNNNNNNNNNNNNNNNNNNNNNNNNNNNNNNNNNNNNNNNNNNNNNNNNNNNNNNNNNNNNNNNNNNNNNNNNNNNNNNNNNNNNNNNNNNNNNNNNNNNNNNNNNNNNNNNNNNNNNNNNNNNNNNNNNNNNNNNNNNNNNNNNNNNNNNNNNNNNNNNNNNNNNNNNNNNNNNNNNNNNNNNNNNNNNNNNNNNNNNNNNNNNNNNNNNNNNNNNNNNNNNNNNNNNNNNNNAAAAAAAGGGAAUUAAAAAUAUAUAUAUCAAUUAAUUAAUUAACUAAAUAAUUAACUUAAUUAAUUCUGUUUAAAUUAACUAAUUAGAUAAUUAACCUAAUUAACUCUGUCUAAUUAAACUGCUGACUAAACAGUCAAUGACCAGUGGGACCCACACGUCAGCGACCCAGUCAACACCUCUGUUGACUGCUGGCGUCAUGCUGACAUCAUGAUGACGUCAGCAAACACUGUUCUGGAUAAUGUUGAAUUAAAAUAAUUAAAUUAAUCCUAAAAAUGAUUUAAAUCUUUUAAAAUUAAUAUAAAAUAAACCGUAGCUCGAAUGAAAAUACUUUCUACAUGAAAGUUGCUCAGAACGGCGUGACGAAUCCGGAUUUGCAGUCCGUUCGUCCGCCACACACCCCUAGCAUAUCGAACACGCAACUUUCCCCCUUCGGUUCAUCUGUCCGAAAACACGAAACACCGGGGAUACUUUCCCGGAUGUUUCCCCCCUUCGCCGGCAUCACCUCUUACCGCGUUAGGGCACACCUAACACCGUUGUUUCCUUUGUCAUGCAUCGUUAUGCAUCUGUUUGCAUUGUAUUCAUUGUUUCUUCCCCCUCUUCUCUCCGGUAGACUACGAGACCGACGCCACUGCUGGUGCCCCGGCUGACUACGGUGUUGACGACCCCUUCUUGCCAGAGCAACCAGGCAAGCCCCCCUCCUUGAUUACCAGAUAUCGCCUAUUCUCCUCUAUACUGCUUGCAUUAGAGUAGUGUAGCAUGUUACUGCUUUCCGUUUAUCCUAUCCUGAUGCAUAGCCUGUCCUUGCUACUACUGUUGUUACCUUUACCAGCAAUCCUAAAUGCUUAGUAUAGGAUGCUAGUAUUCCAUCAGUGGCCCUACAUUCUUGUCCGUCUGCCAUGCUAUACUAUCGGGCCGUGAUCACUCGGAAGGUGGUUACGGGUAUAUACUAUAUACUUUAUACAUGAUACAUGUGGUGACUAAAGUCGGGUCGGCUCGUGGAGCACCCGCGAGUGAAUCACGGAUUGGGGGCUGAAAGGACCUUUGUCCCAACGGCCCUCUGUGUGGAUCUUUGUGGCGGAGUGAUAGGGCAGAUUGAGACUACCUAGGUGAGAGGUGGGCCUGGCCCUGGUCGGCGUCCGCGGUUACUUCAAAAUAACACGCUUAACGAGUUCUUGGUAUUUGAUCUGAGUCUGGCCAUUUGGUCUAUACGCACUAACCAACUACGUGGGAAAGUUAUGGGCACUCGACGUCGUGGUAUCAGCCGAAGCCUUCGUGACGUCAGCGACUGAGCGGCGCGCGCCGGAUUGGACUGGAACGCCUGCUAGGCUAGGUCUGCUUCCGGCCGCGUACGCAACGUGCAGGUGUGCAAUGGGCGAUGGGCCCAGACCCCUGCGCCAUAGGAUUUAGACCUGCGUGCUGACCUCUCUGUUGUGCCGGCGGGGCUGCGACGUGUUGAUCUUCCGCGGCCGGGCAUGACCCAGAAAAGUGUGUCCGGCCAAAUGGGAUCGAGCGUGUUGGGUUAUGUGGUGCACCCCUGCAGGGAAGUUUAUCUAUUCGAAUAGCCAUGUCCCUCGGUAAAAGGACGACCCGGAGUUGUACCUUGACCUUAUGACAACUAGAACCGGAUACUUAAUAAAACACACUCUUCCAAGUGCCAGAUAUAACCCGAUGAUCGCUCUCUAACAGGGCAACAAGGAGAGGAUCGCCGGGUAGGAUUAUGCUAUGCGAUGCUACUUGGUGAACUUACCAUCUACUCUCUUCUACAUGCUGCAAGAUGGAGGUGGCCAGAAGCGUAGUCUUCGACAGGACUAGCUAUCCCCCUCUUAUUCUGGCAUUCUGCAGUUCAGUCCAUCGAUAUUGCCCCUUUGCACAGAUACCCAUGCAUAUGUAGUGUAGAUCCUUGCUUGCAAGUACUUUGGAUGAGUACUCAUGGUUGCUUUUCUCCCUCUUUUCCCCCUUUCCAUUCUACCUGGUUGUCGCAACCAGAUGCUGGAGCCCGGAAGCCAGACGCCACCGUCGACGACGACUCCUACUACACCGGAGGUGCUUACUACUACGUGCAGGCCACUGACGACGACCAGGAGUAGUUUAGGAGGAUCCCAGGCAGGAGGCCGGCGCCUCUUUCGAUCUGUAUCCCAGUUUGUGCUAUCCUUCUUAAGGCAACUUGUUUAACUUAUGUUUGUACUCAGAUAUUGUUGCUUCCGCUGACUCAUCUAUGAUCGAGCACUUCUAUUCGAGCCCUCGAGGCCCCUGGCUUGUAUUAUGAUGCUUGUAUGACUUAUUUUAUUUUUAGAGUUGUGUUGUGAUAUCUUCCCGUGAGUCCCUGAUCUUGAUCGUACACGUUUGCGUGUAUGAUUAGUGUACGAUUGAAUCGGGGGCGUCACAGAGGUAGCCUAGGGCGCGCCCAACUAGGAGGAAUCCUACUUGGGCCCCUAGUCCAAUCCCUCCUACCAUAUUUGGACAAGGGGGAAAGGAAGGAGGGGGAGGGGAAGGAAGUAGGAGUCCUACUUCAUACUUUCAUUUUCCUCCUCCCCUUUCCCUUUCUCCCCACGUGGCUGGCCCUAUAGGGGGCGCACCAGCCCCUUGUGGGCUGGUGUGUUCCCUUACUUGGCCCAUUAAGCCCAUAUCUUUGUCGGGGGUUACCCGGAACCCCUUCCGGUGACCCGGUAUCACCCAGAACACUUCCGGUGUCCAAAUACCAUCGUCCUAUAUAUGAAUCUCUACCUCUCGACCAUUUCGAGACUCCUUGUCAUGUCUGUGAUCUCAUCCGGGACUCCAAACAAACUUCGGUCAUCAAAUCACAUAACUCAUAAUACAAAUCGUCAUCGAACGUUAAGUGUGCGGACCCUACGGGUUCGAGAACUAUGUAGACAUGACCGAGACACAUCUCCGAUCAAUAACCAAUAGCGGAACCUAGAUGCUCAUAUUGGCUCCUACAUAUUCUACGAAGAUCUUUAUCGGUCAAACCACAUAACAACAUACGUUGUUCCCUUUGUUAUCGGUAUGUUACUUGCCCGAGAUUCGAUCGUCGGUAUCAUCAUACCUAGUUCAAUCUCGUUACCGGCAAGUCUCUUUACUCGUUGCGUAAUGCAUCAUCCCGUGACUAACUAAUUAGUCACAUUGCUUGCAAGGCUUAUAGUGGUGUGCAUUACCUAGAGGGCCCAGAGAUACCUCUCCGAUACACAGAGUGACAAAUCCUAAUCUCGAUCUAUGCCAACCCAACAAACACCUUUGGAGACAUCUGUAGAGCAUCUUUAUAAUCACCCAGUUACUUGUGAUGUUUGAUAGCACACAAGGUGUUCCUCCGGUAUUCGGGAGUUGCAUAAUCUCAUAGUCAAAGGAACAUGUAUAAGUCAUGAUGAAAGCAAUAGCAAUAAAACUAAACGAUCAUUAUGCUAAGCUAACGGAUGGGUACAUCACAUUAUUAUCUAAUGAUGUGAUCCCGAUUCAUCAAAUGACAACACAUGUCUAUGGUUAGGAAACAUAACCAUCUUUGAUUAACGAGCUAGUCAAGUAGACACAUACUAGGGACACUUUGUUUUGUCUAUGUAUUCACACAUGUACUAAGUUUCCGGUUAAUACAAUUCUAGCAUGAAUAAUAAACAUUUAUCAUGAUAUAAGGAAAUAUAAAUAACAACUUUAUUAUUGCCUCUAGGGCAUAUUUCUUUCAAUUUGCUACCGAUGUUCCAUGAUUUAUUCUCUAGAUAGCUUCAGUUGUUUCAAUUAAAUUUUGGAACGAUAACUUCCUAAGAAAACAAAGGCCGUACGAAUUGAGCAGUUCCGGCCGAUCUGUCGUCUUAAUGUAAGUUUCAAAAUUUUCACCAAGGUUGGGACUAAUAGGCUUACACAAAUUGCGCACUCUGUGGUGCAUUCGUCCCAAACUGCUUUCAUGCCGGAUAGAAACAUCCUAGAAGGGGUUGUGGUCCUACAUAAAACGCUCCAUGAAAUCCACACGAAAAAACUAGGCGGAGUUGUUUUCAAAGUGGAUUUUCAGAAAGCAUACGAUAAGGUCAAAUGGCCAUUUCUUCAAUAGGCCUUGCGUAUGAAAGGUUUUGAUCAGGCCUGGAGACACCAGGUAGACUCUUUCACGCAAAAAAAGGAGUGUUGGAAUUAUGAAUGAUUACAUAGGUCACUACUUCCAAACACACAAAGGUCUGAGGCAAGGAGAUCCGAUGUCACCUAUUCUGUUCAACAUAGUGGUCGAUAUGUUGACAAUUCUAAUAGGAAGGGCUAAGGAUGCUGGUCAGGUAGGUGGCCUCGUUCCGCACUUAGUUGACCGAGGUGUGUCUAUCCUACAGUAUGCUAAUGAUACUAUCAUCUUCAUGGAGCAUGACUUGGCAAAAGCGCGAAACAUGAAGCUGGUGUUAUGCUUAUUCAAACAAUUGACCGGGUUAAAGAUUAACUUCCACAAAAGUGAAUUGUUCUGUUUUGGAAAAGGUAAUGAUGACCAAGAUGCGUACAAACAAUUGUUCUGGUGCGAAUUGGGGGCUUUACCUUUCACGUAUUUAGGUAUACCAAUCCACCAUCAUAAGCUAACAAACAGAGAAUGGAAGUGCAUUGAGGAUCGAUUUGAGAAGAAACUAAGCUGCUGGAAGGGCAAGCUGAUGUCAUACGGAGGCCGAUUAAUUCUCAUUAAUUCGGUUCUCACGAGUAUGCCCAUGUUUCUCUUGUCCUUUUUCGAGGUACCAGUUGGACUUCGAAAAAGGCUUGACUUCUAUCGAUCACGUUUUUUCUGGCAAAGUGAUGAACUAAAACGAAAAUACAGACUCGCUAAAUGGGAUAUCAUUUGUAGGCCGAAAGACCAAGGGGCCUAGGUAUUGGAAAUCUUGAGGUAAAGAACAGAUGUCUUCUCAGCAAGUGGCUGUAUAAGCUAUCUGUAGAGACAGAGGCCACAUGGGCUCAGAUUUGCGUAAUAAGUACCUUCACUCUAAAACCUUGUCCCAGGUGACAGUGAGGCCGACUGAUUCGCCUUUUUGGAAAGGACUGAUGAGAGUUAAAUCACUCUUUUUCAACAGGACAAAGGUUAUAGUUGGAAACGGUAUCACUACGAGGUUCUGGGAGGAUACAUGCCUAGGGGAGACGCCCCUUGCACUCCAAUAUCCUUCUCUUUAUAGCAUUGUUCAGCGAAGAGACGCUUACGUUGCAACAGUGCUACAGUCCACUCCUCUCAAUAUUCAAUUUAGGAGGACGCUAGCGGAAACCGUUGGGAAGCAUGGCUCCAUCUUGUGAGAAGAUUGAUAAAAGUUCAACUGUCUCAACAGUCCAAUCAGUUGUGCUGGAAACUAACUAAGAAUGGAGAGUUUUCGGCUAAAUCCAUGUAUUUGGAUGUUAUCAACUCUAGUGCUAUUCCUUGUUCGAAACAUGUUUGAAAAGUAAAAGUACCUUUAAAAAUCAAAGUGUUUAUAUGGUUUAUGCAUAAACAAGUCAUUUUAACCAAGGAUAAUUUGGCAAAACGCAACUGGACAGGAUCUACGAGGUGUAGUUUUUGCGACCAUGAUGAAUCCAUCAAACACCUCUUUCUUGACUGCCCUUUGGCAAAAAAAAUUAUGGCGGAUGGUACACAUAGCAUUUAAUAUUACUCCGCCGAAUACUAUCAACACGUUAUUUGGGACGUGGCUAGACGGGAUAGAUUCCGAAACAGCGAGACACAAUCGUGUAGGAGUAUGUGCUUUAUUAUGGGCAGUCUGGAACUACAGAAAUGAUUUGGUCUUUAACAAAACAACAAAUAUUCAUUUUUUUGCAGGUUAUUUUCCGAGCCACUGCGUUGAUCCGUAUGUGGUCGCUACUCACUCCGACGGAGGCCAGGGAGCGUAUGGUUACUGGAUCUACCCGAUAGGAGAUGGUAGCACAGGAUAUUUUCAACCGGUUUGGAUGGCGUUCAUGUAAUAGGAUAGGCAAUUAGUGAUCCUAUCUUUUUAUGCCAGCCGAUUGUGGCUUUUAUAUUACUUUUUAGCUCUUUGUGAGCCUUUUUCGUUCUUUGAUCGAGACAUGAAGACUUGUGUUGAACCUUUUGGUUUUUAAUAAUCUUGGUCGUAUGCAUCGUAUACAUCUUUUAAUAAUCUUUUGUUCCCCUUCAUUUGGCUAUAGUCUGCUUGCAAUGAGUAAACACUGAACUUGUUUACGCCGUGAGUUUCAACUGUCUUCUUUCCUAACAAAAUUGCCCAGUAAGCGAAUCUGUUUGUACUAUAUGUAGAUAGAUGCAAUUGGAAGAACAGAGCACUGAAGGGGAAUGUCCACUGAUGUACCUUCAGUCCUGCAUGACCGGUGCCACUCCACGGCCUCAACAGUGAUUUGCCUCCAGGCGUUUAACGGGGCUGGAAGUCUAGAAAUGGUAUAUCAUGGCAUGAAGCUUAAUGGUCUCAAAAGACGUACGGGAGGCCUGAACAAUGUCUCAGUAGAUCCCCCUCCUCUGUGAAUCUGUGAUAGGCUCUAGUCUUUCUUACCAGUACCAGGUGCAGGACAAGUUCUAGGCUAUUCGACAUCUGCAAAAGCUUGGACAUGAAAGAGUUGAUGACGCCCCUGGAAUAUAUCUACUACAAGAUCUGAUCAGGAUCGUUCACAUAUUGUCAAGCAAUAACACACAACCAUGCACGCUGGGGCUCUCGAUAUUCAGAUUUCUGCCAUUUCUACACUUUGCAAGUAUGCAAGCAUGAGAAACACAUAUGUAUCUACUGUCGUUCAGAUGUACUAGUCGAAAUGCAGCUUAAUCUUCUUUGACGUCUACGGUGUUACUUUCUUUGGAACAACGUUCUCUCCAACUGAUCUUCCACAUCUGGAGCAAACUUACCCUGCUAAGGAUAUUCAAUCUGGUGAAUUUGUUGUCGACAGUACGUACCCUGCUAAGGACAUAGAAAAAAAAUAUUAGUCACACGGGUACAGAUAUGCAAGGCUUCAUACAUUACAUAUCCCAGGACUGUUCAAUCUGGUGAAGUUGUUGUCGACACUACGUACACAGGACGAAUGCGAACAUGGAUUCUUGGAAGAGAACCAGAGUUUGCAUAGAUAUAUAGAAGCAUAGCAUGAAAAGUUUGCUAAGAACUUUUUUUGAUAAAGGAUGGAUUUUAUUGACUCAAAAUGAAGCAUCAAGCGGAUACAAACAUAAUGCGUACACAUCCGGCCUCUGCAUAGAUAGGAUGCGCAUAACCAACACCAACACCAUCUCACACACACAAAACUAAAUUCUUCGGCAAAUAGUAAAGUCAUACAAGACCAAAGCUAUGCCCAGCGAGAAAAAAAAAAGACCCCAAAACGAUCAAAACCAUAAUCAACAAACUAUAGCAACAACCAUAUGCGCACCUGCAGCCAUAUCUUCACAACACAAGUACAAUGAGGUUCUUCAAUAGCAACGCCUUCAGGAAGGAAAAGACGAUCAAGCGUCACCGUUACCAGAUCCAAGCACCAAAGGCUAAGUUCUAGGUUUUCACCUUGAAGAAAAAGUUUGAGCAUAUCCGGGCAAUGCCUUCAACAAGAAAACGAUGUAAAACAAUCGUCAUUGCCAAGUAUAACCAACAUGGGUCAGGCCUAGGUUCUCACCUUGGAACUCAAGACCGAGUACUCAACAAGCACCAAUGCAUUGAAGUAAAUCAUGUAUUGUGCCACCACUUUUCCGCGAUCCCAACAGCUGCAUUCGCUGGGCUAGAAUCCCAUUGUCGCCGAGCAAGGUUCCGAUCAUGGAAAAAAAUACCAAUAAAUGCAGAUGUCUUGUUCUGAUAUCAUUCUAGUAAUAGAAGUGAACAAAAAAAUCCUCGCAGAGAGAGGAAGCAUCAAAAUUAUUGUCGCAUAUUUUAGCAACAACCUCAUAGUUCAAUUCUGACACGUUAUUUUGAGAGCUCAAUCCCGCCUAAGAUUCGAGUCUUUGGCAAAAAAACUCGCCUUUGAAGCACUAGGUAUGCAACAUAAUCGCUGGAGAAGGAACUUGGUGGCCUUGCCAAUCUGUAAUAUUUGUGGUUUAGAACAGGAGGACAGUGAUGAGACAUGCGAAAGCAAAAGCACUUCGACAUGAGAUGCAGAAGUUCUAGGAGCUGCCGGUUGAAUCCGAUUUAGUUCGCUCUGGUCUGGAUUGGGUCCUGGUAAUAUUGGAUAAAUGCAAUGAAGAUACGAGAGAAAAGUUAUUUUUCUUAUGGAUGAACCAGGAAAUCUGAAGCAGUUUAAAAUAAAGCCCGGUAAAGAAUUAAAUGAAAGAGGCCUAAGAGAUGGAAUGGUAAAAGCUAAAUGUGGAUGUGAUCGUGAAUAUAGGAAAGGGUACUGCAGCUCUGCGCUGUGCUCAGGGUGACAGUGGCAAGGUCUGGUGAUCGUGCUGGGGCCUAUUCGCUAUUGCACCAAUGUCCAUCACUAGAUUUAGUUUGAAUGAUGUUGUGUGGUGGGUAAUGUUUCACUCAGUCCCAACCUGCGUGUUGGAUCGGGUGAGACAAGAUUGUAAUGACUGCGUGUUCCAUUAAGAAAUAUACAUACAAUUUUGAUCAAAAAUAAAUAAAUAUACUUAAGCAUCAGCGGAAUGGUAAUAUUAUCCAUUAUAUCGUGCUAUUGCAAUGAUGACAACUGAAGAGUUGUCUUGUGUGUAUGCAUCUUGUUGUUUGUGCUGACAAAGGGAACAGUGUUCAUAAAGCGCAUGUUGCCCAUAGAAGAACAAAAUAAUGGAGCAAUUCAACAUCUAUCUGCCAUGGGUUGUUGAAAAACAAACAAUGGUAGUUGAACAGAGGAAGCGCACAUCAUUCUCAGUCAAGGGCUGGCUUUGGCAUUCUUUACACUACACCUCCGACCACCUCCGGUGUCAUUUCGCAAAUUCCGUGAAGCAAAAUUUGCUCGUUAUAUUGGUUUACUCUAAUAUCUUGGUAAUAAAAGGGUGUGGAUUAUCAACUGUUUCACCCACCCAACAAAGGGCCUCCAGUGAACUAACCUGUGGUUGAGAUGGUUAGGUGGACAGUGGUAUCCCCAACCCACCAGGGUUCAAAUUCUGGUGUUCGCAUUAUUCCUGGAUUUAUUUCAGGAUUUCCGGCGAUGCGCUUUCAGUGAGAGGAGACGUUCCCGUCGACGACGAGGCGCCUACGGUGACUUCUUAAAUCUCAAGAUGAUAUGCCGGCUCAGUCUCUCGGAAGUGCUCAUAGGGGUAGGUGUGCGUGUGUGUGUUCAUAGGGAUGAGUGUAUGCGCGUGUAUAUGAGCGCUUGUGUCCGUACUGAUGCUAAAAAAAAAAGGGCCUCCAUAUAUGCAUUGUGUCAUUGUGUGGCGGUCAAAAAAGCUCCACGGGUCAUUAUAUUGCCAUGAUUAUUUGCAUUACUAUCGCAUGGUGGAUCGCCAUGCUUAUGGUGUUGUGUGGAAUUGUAGUUUGUACUCGCUAGAAUCGCCCCUUCACGUCUGUCGAAAAGGAAACAUGGAACUCUGAAAUCUGGAUACAGAUCUCACAGUCCAUGGCAAUAGUUGCAUGACAAAAUAGGGGAAGUGGUUAUGUACCUGUAUCUCAAAUCGUUGACGCAAUAAUCCCUCUUGUGCAGCUAUUUCUCUGUGAAUUUGUUCAGUUGUGUUUUGCUCCAGUACUCUGAUUGCUAUUGUGGUGUUAGCUGUAGGAGGCACCCUUUCUUAGCUUUUCUUUAUUUUGCUCUAGAACCUUGCUCGUUACUGUUGAUGUUAAACAUGACAUGUUUGUAUUGCUAUUCCUAUCUUCCUUAGCCUUGUAUAGUUGACUCCUAGAGAUAUGGUAGGAUUAGUUUUAUUGUCACGCAAGACAUCCUGUGUAUAUGUUGUGACCGACUCCAUGGAAUACCAUUGAGUUGCACCGCAUAUUCUUUCUACGUGGUAUCAAUUUUACCGCGAUCUCCUCUCGCUUCCGCAACCCGCAGCCGCCGCACCCUCCCGUAGCCGCCGCUGCCGCCAACUCCAAACCCUAACGCCGCCACCGCCGCUACCUCUCCCGUAGCCGCCGCCGCCGCCUCCUCCUACCCAAAACCCUACGCCGCCGCUGCUCCCUUCUCCCCAAACCCUAGUGCCGCCGCCGCUGUUCUUCUACAGCCGUCACCACCCCUUCCCUCGGCCACCACCCAAACCCUAAGCCGCCGCCGCUACUCUCUUCCUCCUGUAGUCGCGUCCGCCCCCUUCCCAUCACCCGACGCCACCAUGUCCCGCUCCAAGGCCGACCCAUCCGACGCUGGUUCUUUCGUCGGUGCCAUGUUCAACUCUGACUGCCUGAACGAGCUUCACAUCAAAGACCACGUACCUGUCAUCCUCGACCUCAACUCGCCAUCCUACAACGCGUGGCGCACCUACUUCGCGAUGUUGUUCCGCUCUUACCGUCUCAUCGAGCAUGUUGACAGGAGCGUCGACUUCCGCGACAUGAAGGACGACGACGAGUGGCUUGCUGUGGACGCAUGCAUCGUCAAGUGGCUCCUCCUCACCAUCUCCGGCGGCCUCUUCAACAUGGUGAACUCCCGUGACCCGUCGGCGUACGCUAUGUGGACGCAGCUGUGUGACCUUUCCUCGACAAUCAACUCCAACACCACGUCUUCCUUCAAGGGGAGUUCUUCACUAUGCAACAAAAUGAUCUUUCGAUCGAUGAGUAUUGCACGCGGCUGAAGGUUCUCGCCGACGAGCUGCGCGACAUCGGCAUGACCAUCGACGACUCCGUCUCCUCACCAACCUCCUUUGCGGCCUCCACCCUGACCUUGGCCAGUCCGCCGCCAACCUCUCUCUCGUCACGUCGACGUACGUGAAGGCAGUCACGUACCUUCGCAUGGAGGAGAAGCGCCUCCAUCACUCCGCCCGGCAGGCGCCCCACGCCGCCCUUCACGUCGGCCUCGCCGCUGGCCACGGCACUCCUCCAGCCCCGCCAGCGCCGCGCGCGCCUGGUCCCACCCCGCCACCCACGCCCGCGCCCUCUCGUGGCCGCAAGCAGAAGGGCCGCGGGGGUCGGGGCCGCAACGCCAACACGGCGCAGCGACCUCCCGCGACCAACGCGGCUGCUCCCCCUUCGUCGUGGCUCUCCGGGUACAAUCCCUGGACGGGAGUCGUGCAUGCUUACUCCAUGCCCGUCCCCUGUCCCCCUGCUUCGGGCAUCCUCGGGCCACGGCCGAUCUCUCAUCCGGCACUGCUGACCGCACCGGCUCCCGCGGCAUACGUCAACGCCGCGGCCUACGGUGGCACCUCGGCUUACGGCGGUCCUCCGGGCUAUGGCGCAUAUGGUGGCGCCCCUCCAGUCUACGACCCGGCGCUCCUCUCCGCCCUUCAUGUUGCACCCUCGCCGAGCACCUACAACGGAGGCGGCGAUUGGUACAUGGACACCGGCGCCGCUGCUCACAUGGCCUCCAACCCCGGUAUCCUCUCCCGUGCCUCCCCCUAUCCCUUCAACUCUCGCAUCGUGGUUGGUGAUGGCUCCUCUCUUGCCAUCACUCAUCACGGUUCAUCCUCCCUUUUGUUUCCCUCUUCAUCUUUAACUCUAAAUAAUGUGCUUGUUUCACCAUCCUUAAUCAAAAACCUAUGCUCUGUUCGUACUCUUACUCGUGAAAAUCAUGUCACUGUUGAGUUUGACGCUCUUGGUUUCUCUGUCAAGGAUGCUCGCUCCCGGAGGGUUCUGCACCGAUGUGAUUCCCCCGACGAUCUCUACCCAUGUGGUCCUACGAUGAGUGGUAGUCCGGUUGCUCUUCAUGUCGAUGUCUCGCUUUGGCACGCUCGACUUGGUCAUCCCGGCGCCGACGCUCUUCACAAAAUUUUGAGCACCUUUUCCUUUUCAUGUAAUAAAUCGGCGGCUCAUACAUGUCAUGCUUGCCGCAUCCGAAAACACGUUCGCUUUCCGUUUCCUUCAUCUACAUCAAUAGCUACUUUUCCUUUUGAUGUUAUUCAUUGUGAUGUUUGGACAUCUCCAGUGCCUAGCAAUUCGGGCUUAUAUUAUCUUGUGAUUUUAGAUGAUUUUUCUCAUUUCACUCGGACUUUUCCGCUACACCGUAAAUCCGACGUCGCCUCCACCCUCCACUCCUUUUAUGCUUACGUCCACACCCACUUUCAUCACACCAUUGCUCACCUUCAAACGGAUAACAGAAAAGAAUUUGAUAAUCUCGCCAUUCGACAUCUUCUAUGCACCCACGGCACUGUUUUCCGCCUCACAUGUCCAUACACCUCCCAACAAAACGGUCGUGUCGAACGUGUCCUCCGCACCCUCAAUUAGAGUGUUCUUGCGUUACUCUUUCAUGCACACAUGACUGCCCGAUUCUGGUCAGAUGCUCUUGCUACUGUCAUGCUUCUCCUCAACAUCCGGCCUUGCAAACCCCGAUGGAGCUACACACCUCAUCAUCUCUUGUUCGGCUCUCCUACAUCCUAUGAUGACCUUCACAUCUUUGGUUGUUUAUGUUACCCCAACAUUACCGCCUCCGCUCCCCACAAACUUGCACCUCGGUCUCUUGCUUGUGUGUUUCUUGGCUAUCAACCCAACACCAAAGGCUUUCGUUGCUACGAUCCCGUCUCUCUUCGCGUAUUUGUCUCGCAACAUGUUUACGUUGAUGAGGUUGUCUUCCCUUUUGAGCGGGUUACUUCGGCAGCGGCGACCCCUUUGGAGACCGCCCCGUGACGGUCGCGUGGCGCCCUUGCCUACCCACGCCGCAGCUGCCUGCUGAUUCGGCGGCACGUCCGGGUCUCUCGCCGGCUACGGCGCACCUUGCCUCGACUCCGUCGGCUCAAGAGGAGCCGGUCUCGUCUCCGCUGGCUUCGGCACGAGCUCAUGCAGGACCAUCGGCGUCCUCAUCGCCAUCUCCUGUUCGGCCCUCGGCCGUCUCUUCGGCCACGGCGUUGCUCCCGGCUGCGUCUCCGGCGCCUUCUACGCCAGCUGCUGCCUCGCCUGCCGGCUCGUCGUCUCCACAUGCGGUCUCACCCGCUGGCCCAGCUUUGCCACCCGCGGCUUCGUCGCCACCGCCUUCCGGUGUCUCACCCGCGGUCGCCCCCGCGGCCUCACCCGCGGUCGCCCCCGCGGCCUCACCCGCGGUCUCGUCACCGCCGCCCUCUGUGGUGGUCGCCUCGUCGCCCGCGGACCCCUCUGCGGCUUCGUCUUCGACGUCGUCUGCACCCGCGGCUGUGGCUGCCGCUCCGCCUCGACAACGGCCUCACCUCCCGCCUCCGCCACCUCAUCACUCUAUGGUGACGCGUGCUAAGGACGGGAUUCACCAGCUGAACCCCCGCUACCACAACCUCAGUGUCACGGUCAUCUCUCUGAUACCGCGCUCGGUGCACUCUGCAUUGAGUGACCCGCACUGGCUCGCGGCCAUGCGCGCUGAGUAUGAUGCUCUCGNNNNNNNNNNNNNNNNNNNNNNNNNNNNNNNNNNNNNNNNNNNNNNNNNNNNNNNNNNNNNNNNNNNNNNNNNNNNNNNNNNNNNNNNNNNNNNNNNNNNNNNNNNNNNNNNNNNNNNNNNNNNNNNNNNNNNNNNNNNNNNNNNNNNNNNNNNNNNNNNNNNNNNNNNNNNNNNNNNNNNNNNNNNNNNNNNNNNNNNNNNNNNNNNNNNNNNNNNNNNNNNNNNNNNNNNNNNNNNNAUUUCGGCAUAAACUUCUACCGGAUGGCACUCUGGACAAGUACAAGGCUCGUUGGGUGGUUCGCGGAUUUGCACAACGUGCCGGCGUUGACUUCUUGGAGACAUUCUCCCCGGUUGUUAAACCCGCCACGAUUCGUGUCGCUCUUCAGCUCGCCGCCUCUCGACACUGGCCAGUUCAUCAGCUUGACAUCAACAACGCCUUUCUCUACGGUCACCUUCAGGAGCGUGUUCUUUGUCAGCAGCCAGCUGGUUUUGUUGAUCCCACUCGGCCUAAUGAUGUCUGCCUGCUCUCACGGUCUCUCUACGGUCUGAAGCAGGCGCCUCGUGCGUGGUAUCAACGCAUUGCAGCAUUCCUCACUGCUCUCGGUUUUCGCAGCACCACCUCCGACACAUCACUAUUUGUGCUUCAUCGAGCUGAUCAUGUCGCCAUGCUUCUUCUAUAUGUUGACGAUAUCUUCAUCACCGCCUCUCGUGCGGACUUACUUCGCGAGAUUAUUGGUCGUCUCGGUUCUGAGUUUCGGCUUAAGGACUUGGGCGCACUGCACUUCUUCCUCGGUAUCAAUGUGCGACGUGACUCUUCCGGAUUCUUUCUUCAUCAAGGACAGUAUGCUCUUAAUCUAUUGGAUCGUGCUGGCAAGACCGACAGCAAACCUGCUGCUACUCCUGCUGAGGCCAAGCCGAAGCUCUCUGCCACUGCUGGACAACUUGCCACUGACGCCGCUCUCUACCGCAGUAUUGUUGGUGCUCUUCAGUACCUCACGCUCACCAGACCAGACAUUCAGUUUGCCAUGCAGCAGGUUUGCCUGCAUAUGCACUCGCCUCGUGAUGUUCACUGGUCUUUGGUCAAGCGCAUUCUUCGGUACAUCUGCGGCAAACCGACCUUCGGUCUUCGUCUCCGUGCCUCCGCCUCCACCGAGCUGUUUGCUUACACUGAUGCGGAUUGGGCCGGUUGUCCUGACACUCGACGAUCUACGUCGGGAUAUUGUGUCUUCUCCGGCGACUCUCUCAUCUCAUGGUCCUCUAAACGGCAGCCCACCAUCUCCCGCUCGAGUGCUGAGGCCGAGUACCGUGCCGUUGCCAACGUUGUUGCCGAGACAUGUUGGCUACGUCAACUACUUGGCGAACUUCGGGUCUCGGUCCCGAAAGCUACGGUGCUUUUCUGUAAUAAUGUUUCGGCCACCUAUCUCGCGACCAAUCCGGUGCAGCAUAAGCCCACCAAGCACAUUGAACUUGAUGUUCAUUUUGUCCGCGAGAAGGUUCAGUUGGGUCAGCUCCGUGUUCUUCAUGUACCGACCACCCAACAGUUUGCCGACAUUAUGACCAAGGGGCUUCCAACCGCUGCAUUUCAGGAGUUCCGUUCCAGUCUUUGCAUCGCCUACACCAAUGCUUCGACUGCGGGGGGGAGUUGAACGUGACAUAUUUGUAUUGCUAUUCCUGUCGUCUCUAGCCUUGUAUAGUUGACUCCUAGAGAUAUAGUAGGAUUAGUUUCCUCGUCACGCAAGACAUCCUGUGUAUAUAUUGUGACCGACUCCAUAUAAUACAAUUGAGUUGCACCGCAUAUUCUUUCUACAGUUGAGAUAGCUGAACGCCGCCGUUUUUGGUCAUAUUAAACAAUACGAAAAGAUUAUACCGUGUGCAUUGUUGUUUGUUUAUUUUUGGUUGUGACAGACAUUCUUGUUGAGAGAUGUCACUGGUUUGCAUCUAGGCACAUACAACACCAGACCUGCGAAGCGACCAUGCAUCUGCGUCGUCGGUAUUGCUCCUGGUUGUUGUGCUUGGUUGUGCCACCACCGCUGGUUGUUGUGCCUGGUUGCUUUGUUGUCCAUCCUCUAUUUGUGUCGGUUGUUGCUGCCAUCGAGCUUGGCUACCUCUGAUCUUCUCAUGCUUCUGCUACUGCUUACUGCUCUGGUGCCUUUUCCACUACUGCAUAUUGUUGUGUCAGAUCAUCGUGGAUUGCACUUGCACGGUUGCACCUAAUGAACUGGACAAUACAAGGAGUAACUCGAUUGAGAGCUGACAACAACCAUGGUACGUGUUACAGCCCUGUAAACUGCCAAAAGCUCAUCUAAACAAAAUCUGAUGAAGGCCACAACCAUUAAUCUUCCUGGGAAAAUUUCAAGGUUCUCCAUGAGGAUAAAAAAUGAUGAAGCACGCUCCCCUUGAUGGGGUAUAUAGCAUGAUGAAUCGUGAGUGGUGAUGUGGAGUAUCCUCCGCAACAUAUUGUCAGCAGCAGCGAAAGCCAUGGUGAUUGGUCAGACUGUGAAAGCCUCCGCAACAUUCUAACUAUUGUGAACCUUGAUCCACCAAAAUGCAUGACCGCAAGGGAUUGUGCAAACAUAGGUUUAGAUGAGAGAACAACUUGGGAAACAGAUUGAUUGUUCUUGCCUGCACAAUUUCGUAAUGGACUUUUAGGAUACUUCAUGCUCAUGGACUUUUAGGAAUCUCAACAUAUAUCCCUCGGUUAUCUAUCAGAGAAACACAAGUGAAUGGCACAGUCGGCUAUCCCUCGUCGGUUCAGCAAUCACCGAGAGUAAAAUAUGAGGUAAAUGGUCUAAACAAAGCCCCUGGUUGAACUAAAUUGCAGUAAACAGUAACUAAAGCAAUAAGCCAAGUAAGCCAUUGGAUCUCGCCAUCACACGUGCACCGUUGGAUAACCUACUGCACCCAUCGUGAAUAAAGAGUAUGAAAAAAUUCGCCAAAACUUACUUCCUUAGAUUAAUUAGAAGUAGAAGCGAUUAUCUUCUAAACUAUCCUGCAUUUUACCCCAAAAUCUGACAAAUCCCUUGUCGGUUUUUCGAUGAGUUCCUUCCCAUUGUUCCGGUCCAAGCACCCCUCCCAUGCCUCUAUUGGCUCUUCUCCGAUGUUGGCUCAACAGGGGCAGGUCCAUCUAUUGCCUCAAAAAUUCAGUGAAGCAAAAUAUGCCUUUUCUAUUGGUUUACUCUAAUAUCUCAGAAACAAAGAUCAUGGAGUAUGGACCGUUUCACCCAGCCAACACAAUGUAUGCAUUGUGUGGUGGUGGCAAAACUGCCGCUUGCUUAUAAAUAGUGUCCAUUCCCCUGCUACAGAAGACCAUCGGUCAUCAUAUUGCCAUGGUCAUUUGCAUUACUAUGGCAUGGCAGAUCAUCAUGCUUAUUGUGUUACACAAAAAUGCCAUUUUUAUUGCUGGAAUCAGCCGUAUACCUCAAUCAAAAACAAUACAUGGGAACCUGAAAUCAGAAUCUAGAGUUCCCAAUUCAUGGCAACAAUUGCAUGACAAACCGGGGGAAAUCUGGGUCCAUAGCUCCCGCUUCUAUAUCGCUGUUAUGUGCCCCUUUAUCCCAAAUUGAUGAUGCACCCCUCCUUAUUCUGUGCUAAAAAUCUGAACCGUUUUUUCUUUUGAAAGAGUAAGAAACCUGAACUAUCCAUCACUUAGACAGGCAAGCAAAUAAAUUAUCGUGCACACACGGAAGAUGUCAAGCCCAUAUCAUGCAGCUUAAUGAACUCCGAAGAGCAGCAACAACUGAAGCAGAUGCAGUCUCUGAUUGGAGGUUCCUAAAAACUAACACAAAGAGUUAAUGAGGGCACUGAUAUACAUUUUUCCUCCCUGUACAAGAUUUGAUCAGGAACAACCACAUACGAACGUCGAUUAGCAGGCAAUAAUACACAACUGUGCAUGCAGGGGCUCCUGAUAUUCAGAUUGAUGUUAUUUUUACACUUUAGGAGUACAUAUGAAAAAAC